RNAcentral lists this long non-coding RNA (69783 nucleotides) under Triticum aestivum (bread wheat). RNAcentral describes it as "long non-coding RNA (TAES_LNC019506)". Lineage: Eukaryota; Viridiplantae; Streptophyta; Magnoliopsida; Poales; Poaceae. The record is from RNAcentral.
CGUCCUGGUCAUGGGAAUCCUCUCACAGGCGAACGGUAUGGUUGCUGAUUGCCGUAUUCUGAUUUCAUUGUAAUCUUUAGCUUACACACACAAGUGAUAGUUAACUGAUGCCAAUCCAGUUAACAAGGCGAUUAACUGAUCUGAUUCCAUGCGUGCGUGCAGCCGAGUUCCCCAAGUGCUGCGACAACUGCAGGUUCUUCUCGGGGGCCGUGGUCUGCGAUGACGCCGGCCCCAAGUGCCGGGACGGCUGCGUGAACUGCCGCGUCGUGCAGACGAGCCCUAAGAAGACGUUCCGAUGCGCCGAUGCUCGCGCCGACGACGGCACGCCCUGCAAGCCCUGCAAGAAGCACUGAUCGCACAUGCUCAGGACAUAAGAUGUUGGACCGAAAAUAAAAGCUCGCAUGGGUUGAGCAGAGCAGUGGUGGCUGUACGUGCCCGCGGUCCACGCCCAACAACAAUUGUAGUUGUCAUCGUCGUCGUUAUGCUUUUUUCUCUCUCCAGAAAAAGCUGUUGUCAUUGCUCCGUGAAUAAACACAUACAUAUGUAUCAGUGUAUGCGUCUCUGCUCAAUUAAAUAAAAAUCAGUUUAUUUGUGUCGAUAUAUAUUGUUGUACAGUCCAGUUCAAAUGGUGAAUGGAUCCUUCUCGGCGCGAGUCGGGAUAAUUAGUGGAUCAUUAUUUACGCAAGUCAGGGCCAUGAUGUUUAAGCAUGCAUGCAUGGUACCGAUCUCAUCUUGGCGGGUAUGGAACAUGCUAGGACUCCAUUAUUGAAUGGUUAGCCAGCAAAUCAUCUCGCGAAUAUGCAUGCAGCAUGCAUCACGCACGUUAUAUACCAGGAUACGCAUCUCGUGACGUGAUCUCGUCUAGCUUCUCGGUCGCUAGUUAGCUAACAUGGAGAUGCAAAUAUACUAGUACUACUAAGGUAGAUCUCUCUUUGGUUACGACUUGAGCAAUAUCACCGUUCACGCGCGAAAAAAAAACACUGAGAUACGCGCUCACAGUGUCGGUCAUGUAGCAUGCUUGAAUAAAAAUGUGACACUGUUCAUCCGUCUAUCCCUCUUUCCCAAAGAUUGAAGAUGCUACAGCGAUUCGGUGACGCAGAUCCAUCCCUCGCUGUCCCGUCGGCACGAGCACGUGAAGAGGAGGGCCAUUCAUGCCUAGGCUAGGAGUACCUGCCAUGGCAGCGCCAGCUCACCCGGGGAAAUAUCUGGUACUCCUACCCCUAGGAUGUUCCUCGUGCUUCAAAACUCGGUAGCACAUUUUUAAAUCUUUACUCAUAUAAAAAUCUGAGUUGGUAAUGAUUGUGUGCCUGCCAUCUUAUAUUUGGGAUCGUCGGAUCUGCAUCUGACGCACAACACAAAGCAAUCUGUGCAAUUUUACACAAAGACACCCACUUCACGUCACAUUUGCAGAUAGCCCCUCCAAGUCCCAUCUCUCCCGUUCAGCACUGUCGCCCCCAACUCAUCAAAAUCCAUCUGAAAAAGAAGGCACUGGAAGAACCACCGAUCUAGCUAGAUGUCACUGGAAUCGAUCUCGCUCGAUGGCCGUUGUCGGCGCCGUCCACCCCCAAGCCUCUCACGCCUGCUCUCAUUAGCCCCAGCUCUCACCACCACCGCAAAAUCCCGUCCUCCCCGCCAUCUCCUCCGCCCCCUUUUGCCCGUCUCCUCCGGUGCCGACCUCGGCAAGCACAUACGCCGCCGACGCCGCCCGUCCGCCGACUCGUCCUCCUCUUGUGUCGCAGCACAACCGCCCAGCAUCUCCACCACGAUGCCCUCUUCCGCGUCAUCCCCUACACCCCCUCCCCCAUCUCCUGCGGUUCCAAUGCCCGCAAGUGCGCCGCCUCCGCCGUCCGUGCCCUGACGCCUCUCUUGCUUCCUCCCUUUCUUGUUGCAGUAGCCCCACAACCCACCGGCACCACCUCAUCCUCCUCAUCGACAUCUCUUCCGCCCGCUCCUCGUAUCCUCCGACGUCGACCUCCGGAAGUACGCCGCCGGCUGCGCCGCCACCUACUGCUACUCGUCGAAGGAUUUCGGCUGGUGGCAAACUACUCGUUCCCGGCAGUGCCGGUGCCAACUACCUCAAGCCACUGUGUUUGUUCCCAAAUCCCAACCACGUUCAUCCCUCCAUAAGUUUUGUGUUUCUCUGUCAGACCCAAAGAAGUUUGUCAUUGUUUUGGAGCAGAGAUGUGUGAUUGAAACCAUUGCCUCUCCUAAAUAUGUUUAAAAACUAAUUGGUUGUGGAUCUGCGAAGUACCUCGAGAACUGCAGGUUUAUCCUUGGGGAAAUUACUGAGAACCAUCCCCUUGGGUUGUUACUAGAUUUUGUAUUCAAUAUUCAGAUUUUUUUCCCAUUGUGAUCUGUGUCAGAUUUAUUGCUCAAGGAAAAUGGAGCAGUGUUAUCAAGCAUUGCUAAAUGUCUUCUUAAGUGGAGAAGAUCUCAAGAGCUACUUACAAGGAAGAAAGAUAAGCUUUUCCACUUUGUUGUAUCAAGUAAUUUUACUUCCCUGUAUAUUAAUUAUUGUGUAUUGAACGGAAUCUGAGUAAUCCUUUUUUACCAAACAGCAUAUAUACACUUGUGUAGUUGUAUGAGAUUAAUGGAGCAAGAACAGCAUGCAGUAUUGUCUUCGUUGCAUCCACUAGGAGAAGAUUUCAAUUUGGAAAUGCUAAUUGAAAAAAGGUAUGCAGCAUUAGAAUAUCCUUCUAAUAUGUGGUAUGAGAGAGAUGCCCGAUAAUGACUGUUGUGUUGCUUGUACAUAGAUUUUUCACGACUUCAACAUGUGCCUUCUUUCUCAUCGUGUGUUACCCUAAACCCCUAUGAGUUCAUAUGUUAGUUUUAAUUCUCCGCAAGUACAUUUUGAUAUUCUGUAACGUCGGUAUUAUCAGAAUCCCAUGGGAAACUGUGUAUUUUUUUCCUAAGACAAUAUAUGACUUCAGACUCAUAUACCUACGUGAACCUGCAUAAUUUUUAGAAUAUGCUUUUUGAACAAGGUAUAUGUCAUGUUAUUUUUAAUUAGUUUUGAAAAACUUUAGUAUUGUUUGGUCGGGGCCACAUCAGAUGCUCCUUUUGAGAAGCUGAAUGAUAAUUUUGAGGUGUCUCAUGAAAUCUAAUCAUAACUUGCCUUCUCAAAAGAAAAGGAAUACAUCAAUUAUUUGAUUCUUAGCUUUUGGUUAGAACCGUCAUGCAAAGUUUACCUCACAAACUGGAUUUUCCCCCUAGACUAGCUUAUUCUUUGUUUUUCUUAAGAUUAAGUGAUAUAAAUGUUAGCAAAUAAACCAGUGUGGCUUGAUUAGUAGUUUGGCAGCGUUUUUUCUAACUGCAGCUUUCGUCAGUAGUUUCAGUUAGCAGUUUUCUUCAGUAGUUUCAGAAGUUUCAGUUAAACUGUUAGCGACGCCUGAGGACGUGGGCUGUACGAUCCCGAGGUGCGUUUGUAGGCCUGUAAGGACUUGUUCUCAGUCGUGGGAUGGCACGAUCCGGUAAGAGGGCAAGACCUGCGGCAUGUUUGUUUUCUGUUAGAGAUAAUAAAAGUGACACAGAAAAGCAGCAUUCAGGGCGCUGCACAAACAUUUAGUGUUCUUCCUCUGUUCUUCUUCCACCUUGGGUGAUAGAGAGAGAGAGCAGAGAGAUUUUGAGCGAAAUGUGAGUGCUGACAAUAAAGUAAAAUAUUCAAUAUGGAACCAAAACAGCUCUAUGAUGAACGGUGUGAAACAAAAAAAAGAAUAGAAAAGUCUGAACUUUUUGCAACAAACAUAUUUGCAUCUUCUAACAAAAUACAUUCUUUCCUGAAGAAAUGCCAUAUUUAGUGAUUUGUGCUAGAAAAAGUGGUGCCCAUGGAAGUGUUUUAAGAAUUACGAGCACCAAUUUUUUUUCUCACAGAUCACAACAUGUUUUGUUUCUUCAUUAAUAUUUACACAGUUAUAAUGCUUGAUAUGCUUGAGUGUUUGGCAGGAGCACAUGAGAAGGAAAGAGGGAUACUCAUAUCACCAUAUUGAAUAAUUGUCUUCUCAGGGACAUGUGAUUUCUUUUAAUACGGUAUUAUGUAGUAUGCAUGGCUACACUAACCCNNNNNNNNNNNNNNNNNNNNNNNNNNNNNNNNNNNNNNNNNNNNNNNNNNNNNNNNNNNNNNNNNNNNNNNNNNNNNNNNNNNNNNNNNNNNNNNNNNNNNNNNNNNNNNNNNNNNNNNNNNNNNNNNNNNNNNNNNNNNNNNNNNNNNNNNNNNNNNNNNNNNNNNNNNNNNNNNNNNNNNNNNNNNNNNNNNNNNNNNNNNNNNNNNNNNNNNNNNNNNNNNNNNNNNNNNNNNNNNNNNNNNNNNNNNNNNNNCACCAGCAAAUUAAACUGUUUGAAUAUUUUAUCAUACGAUAUUUGUGCAGAUGUUGUUCCAUAGCAAUGUAUAACUACUACACUAGAAUCUGUGUUGGAGCUCAGUUCUUGCAUGUCAUGUGUCAGAUAUUUACAUUGUAUGAAUAAACUUCGGAUGACUUGCAUUUAUGAUGUUUUCUAUAUUGCGGAAUCUAUUAUUCAUGUACAUGCAACACUUUUGAAUUUUAAUAUACUCUCAUAUGUAUGCAAAUUAUGUAUAAUGUGUUUCUAUUUGUGUUUCCUCUCUUAAUGCUGAGUUCCCUUGGAUUCGGAGAAAAAGCUGGCAGUAUCGUCCCGAUUGCCAAAUGUGUGGUCGGAUUUUCUAUUUGCAGUCAGUAAUGAGAAAAUUGAGUAAGGACUAAGGACAACAAAAAGUCUUCCUGCAAGGUCAAGAUGGUGAAGAGAAGGUUUGGCUUGGACGAACAGUAUAUGUAAUCUCUAAGGAGACAAGUUAUUAUCUUGAAUCAAAUGGCAAGAGAUGUGGAAUUCCAUUGACUUUUGCUCGAAAUAGUGUAUAGAAAUGGGUUCUUUGCAAGAAAGAAUGGCUUCUACUAAAAAGGCGUCCGAAACCAUAUGUUUGGUUGUGCUCGAUGCGUACCUAUCAACAGUAUAACAUCGUUGGAUCAAUGUCUAGGAACUUUUUUUUUGCGGGACAUAGCAAUGAAUUGGAUCUUGGAAAUAAUUUAAAUAAACAACAAUGUUUCACAUGUUCUUUUGUGACCCCGUAGCGCAGCACGGGCAUUUUACUAGUCUUCGAAAAAUUCUGAAAAAAUCCGGCACAUUGACGCAACAUUAAAGUAUGUUGUCAAAAAAAUUGAAACAUAGCUUGAGAAACAUCUUAUCAUACGAUAUUUGUGCAGAUGUUGUUCCAUAGCAAUGUAUAACUACUACACUAGAAUCUGUGUUGGAGCUCAGUUCUUGCAUGUCAUGUGUCAGAUAUUUACAUUGUAUGAAUAAACUUCGGAUGACUUGCAUUUACGAUGUUUUCUAUAUUGCGGAAUCAAUUAUUCAUGUACAUGCAACACUUUUGAAUUUUAAUAUACUCUCAUAUGUAUGCAAAUUAUGUAUAAUGUGUUUCUAUUUGUGUUUCCUCUCUUAAUGCUGAGUUCUCUUGGAUUCGGAGAAAAAGCUGGCAGUAUCGUCCCGAUUGCCAAAUGUGUGGUCAGAUUUUCUAUUUGCAGUCAGUAAUGAGAAAACUGAGUAAGGACUAAGGACAACAAAAAGUCUUCCUGCAAGGUCAAGAUGGUGAAGAGAAGGUUUGGCUUGGAUGAACAGUAUAUGUAAUCUCUAAGGAGACAAGUUAUUAUCUUGAAUCAAAUGGCAAGAGAUGUGGAAUUCCAUCGACUUUUGCUCGAAAUAGUGUAUAGAAAUGGGUUCUUUGCAAGAAAGAAUGGCUUCUACUAAAAUGGCGUCCGAAACCAUAUGUUUGGUUGUGCUCGAUGCCUACCUAUCAACAGUAUAACAUCGUUUGACCAAUGUCUAGGAACUUUUUUUUGCGGGACAUAGCAAUGAAUUGGAUCUUGGAAAUAAUUUAAAUAAACAACAAUUUUUCACAUGAUCUUUUGUGACCCUGUAGCGCAGCACGGGCAUCUUACUAGUCUUCGAAAAAUUCUAAAAAAAUCCAGCACAUUGACGCAACAUUAAAGUAUGUUGUCAAAAAAUUGAAAUAAAAAAAAUUGAAACAUAGCUUGAGAAACAUUUUAUCAUACGAUAUUUGUGCAGAUGUUGUUCCAUAGCAAUGUUUAACUACUACACUAGAAUCUGUGUUGGAGCUCAGUUCUUGCAUGUCAUGUGUCAGAUAUUUACAUUGUAUGAAUAAACUUCAGAUGACUUGCAUUUACGAUGUUUUCUAUAUUGCGGAAUCAAUUAUUCAUGUACAUGCAACACUUUUGAAUUUUAAUAUACUCUCAUAUGUAUGCAAAUUAUGUAUAAUGUGUUUCUAUUUGUGUUUCCUCUCUUAAUGCUGAGUUCUCUUGGAUUCGGAGAAAAAGCUGGCAGUAUCGUCCCGAUUGCCAAAUGUGUGGUCAGAUUUUCUAUUUGCAGUCAGUAAUGAGAAAAUUGAGUAAGGACUAAGGACAACAAAAAGUCUUCCUGCAAGGUCAAGAUGGUGGAGAGAAGGUUUGGCUUGGACGAACAGUAUAUGUAAUCUCUAAGGAGACAAGUUAUUAUCUUGAAUCAAAUGGCAAGAGAUGUGGAAUUCCAUCGAUUUUUGCUCGAAAUAGUGUAUAGAAAUGGGUUCUUUGCAAGAAAGAAUGGCUUCUGCUAAAAAGGCGUCCGAAACCAUAUGUUUGGUUGUGCUCGAUGCCUACCUAUCAACAGUAUAACAUCGUUUGAUCAAUGUCUUGGAACUUUUUUUUUGCGGGACAUAGCAAUGAAUUGGAUCUUGGAAAUAAUUUAAAUAAACAACAAUGUUUCACAUGAUCUUUUGUGACCCCGUAGCGCAGCACGGGCAUCUUACUAGUCUUCGAAAAAUUCUGAAAAAAUCCAGCACAUUGACGCAACAUUAAAGUAUGUUGUAAAAAAAUUGAAAUAAAAAAAAUUGAAACAUAGCUUGAGAAACAUAAAUGACAAAUUCCACAUUAAAUAGUACACAACAUAAGUUGGGCUUUAGAUUAGGCCCAUUAUCACAUUGAUGUCCAUUUUGUCAUUUUUGUAUCUCGAGCAAUCUUUCGAUUUUUUAUUUUAAUUUUUUUAACAACAUACAUUGAUGUUAUGUCAAUGUGCUGGAUUUUUUUUCAGAAUUUUUUGAACAUUUUAAAAUGUUUGGAGCAGCGGAAACACCCUAGAGAUGGGAGUACCAGAUAUUUCUCGCACUUGGCCCAUUUAUCUCCAAGCACGAACCCUCAACUACGAAAAACUGUAACAAAUCGAUGACAUGGCAAAAAUUGACAUGUUUGCGUGUACCCACCUACAUGUUGUGUUGUUUUGCAGCUGCGGCCGCCAAGCAAAGCAUUCCACAGGAGUAGAUGUGAAAAUGGGAGUGCUUUGCUUAAAAAGUUUAGUGCCAAAUGAUAAAGAUUAGCACGCUGCUGAUGAUCCUAGUUCUCCUGGCUGUCCUGGCUAGGGGAACAUCGAGUAAGUGCGACGCCGGCUGCAAGGUGUUUGUCAAGGUUUGAAGGUACCCUUUGAAGAAGUUUCCGUGCAAUGACAUUGACAUGCACACCGACACCGGCAUUGGCUCCGCAGCCCACGUGCAAAGUACGAGUUAAUCAAGCCGUAGUCCUGCCACUGUUGGCCGUGCUAUACCUGUACCACUAAAUGAAUACACCAUCUGUUUCAUACUGUAGUGGAUAUAAUUUUUUUGGAAAAUCAGGCAUCACAAAGUUUUAUCAAAUUUAUAAAGAAAAUAUUUGCAUGUAGACUGUCAAACUAUAUCAUUAGAUUCACAAUAAGAUAAACAUUCCAAUUCUAUAUAAGGGCAUCUCCAACGCUGACCAACAAAAUUGCUCCGGAACCCGUCCGCGGAAAAGUGGCCGGUCCGCAAAGAUGGAUGCGAGAGGCGGACAUCCAACGCUACCCGUUCAAAUAUGGUUCAACUAAACCAGACAAAAUUCAUGCAAACACUGCGGAUUCCGACGAGAUUCAUUACUUUUCAGACAUAUUUCAUAUAAACCGGACGAAAUUCAUUAUAUUUUGAAUAAUUUUUAACUAAACUCUAUUCUAAACCUAAUCUAAAUUAUCGCGGGUGCUCAUUCUCAUGUCCGGCUAUGAGCCCCGAGAACUGAAGCUCCGGCUCUUGCCUUGACUUCUCCAGUUCCGUCUCGGUGCUCUCCAACUCUGCCUCUGCAGCCUCCGCCGCCGCAACUUGAGCGGCUAAUCAACCGACGAUUUUCAACCACCAAGCUUGGCUUCAGGCGGAGGGGAAGAAAGGUCGCCUUCUCGGGACCUGAGCCGCGGCGACCUACCAUGCGUUACUCUUCCUCGUUGCCGGCGGCACCCGCGGACAUGCCCCUCGUCGUCGCUCUUGCCCCUCACCUCAUCCGCCGCCUCGUCCAUCUCCUUGUAGGGGGCUUGCAGUUCCGCCUGAUACUGGCGGUACCGCCAGCGGGCGUGGCGGAUCUCACGGGCGGAGCGACUGGACUCGAGCAGCGCCACCCGCUCCAUCAGAUCCGCGUCCGGCACGAUGGCCAUGUCGGCGGCGAGCUGCUCCUCUCCAUGCCAGUGCUCCUAGAGGAGCUAGAUGUUAUACGCCUGGUCGGCCUGCGCUUCCCAUAAUUGCUCCUCCCGCUCCUCCCGCACCAUGUCCAUAUAGUGGGCAUGGGCCUCGCCGAUAGUCAUGCCGGCAUGCACCGGCGAGGAGGGUGGCUUCGGCUAGUCCUCGGCCGCGUCCUCCAUUAGGAUGUCGUCAGCUUCCGUUUACAUGCCGGCUUGCCAGCUGGCCGCAAUGGUAGCCAUCUCUUUCUUCUGCUCUGACGAGAGUCCGUCCUAGGCGAGAAGGUGCCUGCACCGGAGAGUGGCGCGGGCGGCGCUCUCUCAGCCGGCGUGUUGUUUCAAUGCCGGCAACAAUAAGAUGCCGUAUCUGCUCUGGCCGGGCAUGAAUGUAGCACUGAUGCUCUGAAGCGACAUUGACCGUUUUGGGCAGGAAGCGAGCGUGGGCGAGGGAGCGGGUUUGGCGCCGGCUGCAAGGUGUUUGUCAAGGUUCGAGGGUACCCUUUGAAGAAGUUUCGGUGCAAUGCCAUUGACAUGCACACCGACACUGGCAAUGGCUCUGCAGCCCACAUGCAAAGUACGAUUUAAUCAAGCCGUAGUCCUGCCACUGUUGGCCGUGCUAUACCUGUACCACUAAAUGAAUACACCAUCUGUUCAUACUGUAGUGGAUAUUUUAUUUUAUUUUUGAAAAAUCAAGCAUCACAAUUUUUCAUCAAAUUUAUGGAGAAUUUGUUUCCAUGUAGAGUGUCAAACUUAUAUCAUUAGAUUCACGAUAAGAUAAACUUUCAUACUUUAUAUUAGGGCAUCUCCAACACGGAUCCGCAAAUUUGCUCCGGCACCCGUCUACAGACAGGGGGACCGGUCCGCGGAGACUGAUGCGAGAGACAGACAUCCAACGCUGCCCGUUCAAACACGGUUCAACUAAAUCGGACAAAAUUCAUGCAAACACUGCGGAUCCGGACGAGAUUCAUUAUAUUUUGGACAUAUUUUCAUAUAAACCAUAUGAAAUUCAUUACAUUUUGAAUAAUUUUUUACUAAACCUUAUUCUAAACCUAAUCUAAAUGAUCAUGGGUGCCCGUUCCCAUGUCCGGCCAUGAGCCCCGAGAACUGAAGCUCUGGCUCUUGCCUUUGCCUUCUCCAGUUCCGCCUCGGGGCUCUCCAGCUCCGCCACCGCAGCCUCCGCCACCGUAGCUUGAGCGGCUAAUCGGCUGACGAUUUUCAGCCCGCUAAGCUUGGCUUCAUGCGGAGGUGAAGAGCGGUGGCCUUCUUGGGACCUGAGCGGCGGUGACCUACCAUGCAUUAUUCUUCCUCGCUGCUGGCGGCGCUCGCGGGCGUGUCAGCUUCGUGGUCGUUGCGGCGGGGCGCGGCCAUGGCGAAGCCGACAAUGUCCUCCUCGUCGUUGCUCUUGCCCCUCACCUCAUCCGCCGCCUCGUCCAUCUCCUUGUAGGCGGCUUGCAGUUCCGCCUGAUACUGGCGGUACCACCAGCGGUCGUGGCAGAUCUUGCAGCCGAAGCGGUAGGAAUCGAGCAGGGCCACCUGCUCCGUCACAUUCAUGUCCGGCGCGAUGGCCAUGACGGCGGUGAGCUGCUCCUCCGCCUGCCGGUGCUCCUCGAGGAGCUGGAGGAUGUACGUUUGGUCGGCCUGCGCUUCCCGUAAUUGCUCCUCUCGGUCCUCCCGCACUACUAGAAAAAGAGGCUUCCAUACGCCCCCAUUAGUCCCCAAAAUAAUCGAACCGCGACAAAAGGGGUCUUUAGUCGCGGUUCGGGAGGAGACCCGCGACCAACUAUCUGGGCCCAGCGCGCUCGGUCGACAGCUGGCGGACGGGAGGGGCUUUAGUCCCGGUUGGCCUGGCCAACCGGGACUAAAGGUCCCCGAAGGCCUUUAGUCGCGGUUGGCCAGGCCAACCGGGACUAAAGGCUCAUCCCUAUAUAUAGGACUCAGCUCACUUCACUUCACUCAGCUCACUUCACAAUAUUCAGAAGGGGGUGGUGGGUUUGCUUUUGGUUCCUCCUAUGCACACAAGGUGUUCGAUGAAAUGCCCGAGAGCCUGAAACAAACAUGAUAUGAAGUGUCCGAGCCACACUUGAGCUUUCUCAUUUAUUUUUCCUCCGCGAUCGCGGUUAGCAACUUGAACCUUUCAUGUGUCAUUGAUAAAAUAUGCAUGUGUGUAGUUCAUUGUUUAAUUUGUAUUAUUUCUAGCUAGUUAGUUUAACAAAUGCAUGAUGGUUAAUUAUAUACUUUAUAUAAUAAUAAUGCAGAUGAAUCGGCAAUGGAUGUACGGUCCCCGACUCUCCGGCGAGUUCACUACGGGUUUGAAAUAUUUCCUCGUAGUGGCAAAUGCGAACAAGCAGCAAGGUUUUAUUAUCUGUCCAUGUGCUGUCUGUAAGAAUCAGAAGGGUUACUCCUCCUCAAGAGACGUUCACAUGCACCUGCUUCGGCACGGUUUCAUGCGAAGCUAUAAUUGUUGGACCAAGCAUGGAGAAAGAGGGGUUAGAAUGGAAGAAGAUGAAGAAGGGGAUGAUAUCGAUGACAACUAUCAUGAUCAUUUCGGUGAUACUUUCAUGGAGGAUGAUGCUGAAGGUGGGGAAGGGUUAGGUGAAGGUGAAGAAGAGGCACAUGAUGAGCCCGCUGAUGAUCUUGGUCGGACCAUUGCUGAUGCACGGAGACGCUGCGAAACUGACAAGGAUAGGGAGAAUUUGGAUCGCAUGUUAGAGGAUCACAAAAAGUCGUUGUAUCUAGGAUGCGAUAAUAGUCUGAAAAAGCUGGGCUGCACACUGGAUUUGCUAAAAUGGAAGGCACAGGAAGGUGUAGGUGACUCAUCAUUUGAAAAUUUGCUGAAAAUGUUGAAGAAUAUGUUUCCGAAGAAUAACGAGUUGCCCGCCAGUACGUACGAAGCAAAGAAGGUUGUCUGCCCUCUAGGUUUAGAGGUUCUGAAGAUACAUGCAUGCAUUAACGACUGCAUCCUCUACCGCGGUGAAUACGAGAAUUUGAAUGAAUGCCCUGUAUGCACUGCAUUGCGUUAUAAUAUCAGAGGCGAUGACCCUGGUGACGAUGUUGAGGGCGAGAAACCCAGGAAGAGGGUUCCCGCCAAGGUGAUGUGGUAUGCUCCUAUAAUACCACGGUUGAAACGUCUGUUCAUGAACAAAAAGCAUGCCAAGUCGUUGCGAUGGCACAAAGAGGACCGUAAGUCCGACGGGGAGUUGAGACACACCGCUGAUGGAACGCAAUGGAGAAAGAUCGACAGAGUGUUCAAAGAUUUUGCAGCUGACGCAAGCAACAUAAGAUUUGGUCUAAGUACUGAUGGCAUGAAUCCUUUUGGCGAGCAGAGCUCCAGCCAUAGCACCUGGCCCGUGACUCUAUGCAUCUACAACCUUCCUCCUUGGUUGUGCAUGAAGCGGAAGUUCAUUAUGAUGCCAGUGCUCAUCCAAGGUCCAAAGCAACCCGGGAACGACAUCGAUGUGUACCUAAGGCCAUUAGUUGAUGAACUUUUACAGUUGUGGGCCAGACCUGGUGUACGUGUCUGGGAUGAGCACAAAGGAGAGGAAUUUGACCUACGAGCGUUGCUUUUUGUAACCAUCAACGAUUGGCCUGAUCUCAGUAACCUUUCGGGACAGACAAAUAAGGGAUACAAUGCAUGCACGCACUGCUUACAUGAGACUGAAAGUGUACGUUUGGUUAAUUGUAAGAAGAACGUGUACCUGGGUCAUCGUCGAUUUCUUCCCCGAAAUCAUAACGUAAGAAAGAAAGGCAAGCAUUUCAACGGCAAGGCAGAUCACCGGCCGAAACCUGCGGAACGUACUGGUGCUGAGAUAUUUGAUAUGGUCAAGGAUUUGAAAGUCAUCUUUGGAAAGGGUCCUGGCGGACAAUCAGUUCCACGGGGAGUUGACGGGCACGCACCCAUGUGGAAGAAGAAAUCUAUAUUUUGGGAGCUAGAAUAUUGGAAAGUCCUAGAUGUCCGCUCUGCAAUCGACGUGAUGCAUGUUACGAAGAAUAUUUGCGUGAACCUGCUAAGCUUCUUGGGCGUGUAUGGGAAGACAAAUGAUACAAAGGAAGCACGGCAGGACCAGCAACUUUUGAAAGACCCAGAUGACCGGCAUCCGGAAUGGUUUCAAGGUCGUGCCAGCUACGCUCUUACCAAAGAAGAGAAGGUCAUUUUUUUGAAUGCCUGAGCAGUAUGAAGGUCCCGUCUGGCUUCUCGUCGAAUAUAAAGGGAAUAAUAAACAUGGCGGAGAAAAAGUUCCAAAACCUGAAGUCUCACGACUACCACGUGAUUAUGACGCAAUUGCUUCCGAUUGCUUUGAGGGGGCUCCUACCGAAAAAUGUUCGAGUAGCCAUUGUGAAGCUAUGUGCAUUCCUCAAUGCAAUCUCUCAGAAGGUAAUCAAUCCAGAAGAUCUACCACGGUUACAGAACGAUGUGGUCCAAUGCCUUGUCAGUUUUGAGUUGGUGUUCCCACCAUCCUUCUUCGAUAUUAUGACGCACCUCCUGCUCCACCUAGUCGAAGAGAUUUCCAUUCUCGGUCCUGUAUUUCUACACAAUAUGUUCCACUUUGAGAGGUUCAUGGGAGUAUUAAAGAAAUAUGUUCGUAACCGUGCUAGGCCGGAAGGAAGCAUCGUCAAGGGCCAUGGAAAUGAGGAGGUAAUUGAGUUCUGUAUUGACUAUGUUCCUGACCUUAAGCCGAUUGGUAUUCCUCAAUCGCGGCACGAGGGGAGACUAAGUGGAAAAGGCACGAUCGGAAGGAAAUCAACGAUAUGUAUGGACGGUCAUUCUAUGACUGAAGCACACCACACAGUUCUGCAAAAUUCCAGCUUGGUGGCUCCGUUCUUCGAGCAACACAAGAAUAUUUUACGCUCGGACAACCCGGGGAAGCCUGAAUCCUGGAUUAGAAAGGCCCACAUGGAGACUUUCGGCAGUUGGUUGCGAAAACAUUUAAUGAAUGACAAUGAUGUUGGAGAUCAACUGUACAUGUUGGCCAAGAAACCAUCUUCGACUAUAACGAUUUUCCAAGGGUAUGAGAUAAAUGGGAAUACAUUUUACACCAUCGCCCAAGAUAAAAAGAGCACCAACCAAAACAGUGGUGUCCGCUUUGAUGCAGCAACCGAGAAUGGGCAAAAGGUCACAUAUUAUGGUUACAUAGAGGAGAUAUGGGAACUUGACUAUGGACCCUCCUUUAAGGUCCCUUUGUUCCGGUGCAAAUGGUUCAAGCUAACAGGAGGUGGGGUAAAGGUGGACGAGCAAUACGGAAUGACAAUGGUGGAUUUCAACAAUCUUGGUUACUUUGACAAACCAUUUGUCCUUGCCAAAGAUGUCGCUCAGGUUUUUUAUUUGAAGGACAUGAGUAGCAAACCGAGGAAACGGAAAGAUAAGAAAACGAUCAGUACAUCAUGCGAUGAUCCAAAGCGCCACAUUGUUCUUUCAGGGAAAAGAAACAUCGUGGGAGUGGAGGACAAGAAGACAUGUCAGAAGAUUAUAAUAUGUUUGGUGAAAUUCCGCCCUUCAAAGUGAACACUGACCCAAGCAUUAAGUUAAAUGAUGAGGAUGCUCCAUGGAUACGGCACAAUCGUAAGCAAGCAGGGACACAAGGGAAGAAUUGAUGUGUAAUAAUUUAUUGUACCAAACUUUGUUGAAUGGAUCAUGUGAAUUAAAACGUACGAUGGCGAAUCCGGAUGAUUUGUAUCUGGUCGAUGAACUGAAUGAUGUAUCAAACCUUUUGUCAAACCUUCAAGGGAUCGAUGAACUGAAUUUUUUGAUAUAUUAUUUGUAUUUUUAAGAUUUUAAAAUGAAUUAGUUUUAUUUUUCUGAUUNNNNNNNNNNNNNNNNNNNNNNNNNNNNNNNNNNNNNNNNNNNNNNNNNNNNNNNNNNNNNNNNNNNNNNNNNNNNNNNNNNNNNNNNNNNNNNNNNNNNNNNNNNNNNNNNNNNNNNNNNNNNNNNNNNNNNNNNNNNNNNNNNNNNNNNNNNNNNNNNNNNNNNNNNNNNNNNNNNNNNNNNNNNNNNNNNNNNNNNNNNNNNNNNNNNNNNNNNNNNNNNNNNNNNNNNNNNNNNNNNNNNNNNNNNNNNNNNNNNNNNNNNNNNNNNNNNNNNNNNNNNNNNNNNNNNNNNNNNNNNNNNNNNNNNNNNNNNNNNNNNNNNNNNNNNNNNNNNNNNNNNNNNNNNNNNNNNNNNNNNNNNNNNNNNNNNNNNNNNNNNNNNNNNNNNNNNNNNNNNNNNNNNNNNNNNNNNNNNNNNNNNNNNNNNNNNNNNNNNNNNNNNNNNNNNNNNNNNNNNNNNNNNNNNNNNNNNNNNNNNNNNNNNNNNNNNNNNNNNNNNNNNNNNNNNNNNNNNNNNNNNNNNNNNNNNNNNNNNNNNNNNNNNNNNNNNNNNNNNNNNNNNNNNNNNNNNNNNNNNNNNNNNNNNNNNNNNNNNNNNNNNNNNNNNNNNNNNNNNNNNNNNNNNNNNNNNNNNNNNNNNNNNNNNNNNNNNNNNNNNNNNNNNNNNNNNNNNNNNNNNNNNNNNNNNNNNNNNNNNNNNNNNNNNNNNNNNNNNNNNNNNNNNNNNNNNNNNNNNNNNNNNNNNNNNNNNNNNNNNNNNNNNNNNNNNNNNNNNNNNNNNNNNNNNNNNNNNNNNNNNNNNNNNNNNNNNNNNNNNNNNNNNNNNNNNNNNNNNNNNNNNNNNNNNNNNNNNNNNNNNNNNNNNNNNNNNNNNNNNNNNNNNNNNNNNNNNNNNNNNNNNNNNNNNNNNNNNNNNNNNNNNNNNNNNNNNNNNNNNNNNNNNNNNNNNNNNNNNNNNNNNNNNNNNNNNNNNNNNNNNNNNNNNNNNNNNNNNNNNNNNNNNNNNNNNNNNNNNNNNNNNNNNNNNNNNNNNNNNNNNNNNNNNNNNNNNNNNNNNNNNNNNNNNNNNNNNNNNNNNNNNNNNNNNNNNNNNNNNNNNNNNNNNNNNNNNNNNNNNNNNNNNNNNNNNNNNNNNNNNNNNNNNNNNNNNNNNNNNNNNNNNNNNNNNNNNNNNNNNNNNNNNNNNNNNNNNNNNNNNNNNNNNNNNNNNNNNNNNNNNNNNNNNNNNNNNNNNNNNNNNNNNNNNNNNNNNNNNNNNNNNNNNNNNNNNNNNNNNNNNNNNNNNNNNNNNNNNNNNNNNNNNNNNNNNNAAAAAGAAAAGAAAAAAGAAAAGGAAAAACAAAAUACUUGGCAGUGCUAAACAAAAACUUCUAUGCAAAUUAGUGCUCAAUAAUCUUAUUUUUUAAUUCCUCCUCCUCUAUGUCCCCUUAAUCUUAUUUUUUAAUUCCUUUAUACUUAAAGAAUUUUUACUACAUGCAGGAGUGACAUAUGGCGGACGAUAGAGCCGAGCCGCUUAGGGAUCCGGAGGCUGAACGUUAUUUAAUGGGCAUCAUCAACAACGAGAUUCCUUAUGUGCCGGGCUCAGAAUAUGAGCAAGAAGAGGAUGUAGUCUCUUCUUUUCUGAACCUUGACGGUGGAGAUGAUCAAGAAGGUGAAGGAACGGACAUUGUCGACGGAGGUCAACCGUCAACAAACGACGAUCUCGAAUUGCAAGUAGCAACCACCUCCGGCGAGGUAUAUAUAUACAUUGUGCCUCUCGUGAUACAAACUUACUGAAAUGUGAAUACAUAUGUAUUAACGUGCGCGACUCUCUUCAUUUUUUUAGCCCUCGGCCGGAUCGAGUACGACAAAGCGUGGCAAAUCCAAGGCGAUGAAAACAGGAGAAACAUAUGCCAUUGAGUUUGUCAGUGAAACCGGCAAGCCCCUACAGCACACCUCAAAGUUUAUCAACCAAUGCGGAGUCGUUGUUAGAGACAACGUCCCGAUCACCGUCCAGGAAUGGAAGGAGCCAAAGAAGGCACGUCUUGGUUUCAGUUUUGUCCACAAGAGAACGAAAAAGGAUUGUUGGAGAAAGCUUAUGGAACAUUUCAUUCUACCUCCGGAAUACAACAAAGUCGAUGAAUUCGGUAACGAGGUUCCGGGUGGACGUGAGAGGAGGAGGCUAGUUAAAGAGUUCGCUCUUCAGAAGAUGGGCGAAGCAUUCCGGAACUUCAAGAAAAAUUUAACCCGUGACUAUGUCAACAAGGGCAAGACUCCGGAUUUCAAUGGACAACAUGAGAAACUGAAAGAUGAUUGGCCAGAAUUUGUGAGGCAAAAGCAAUCGGAGCAUUUCAAGGAAAUAUCGAAAAAAAUUAAGGAUAAUGCGAGUAAGAAAAAGUUCCAUCAUAUUAUGGGGCCAGGAGGAUACCGCCUUUCGGAGCCUAAGUGGCAGAAGAUGGAGGAGGACCUGAGGGUGCGAGGAAUCCCUCUAGGUACAGAGGGAUGGGACCCAAGGGCCAAAAGCUGGUGGUACGGGCAUGGGGGAUCGCUAGACCCGGAGCAGGGGUGUGUGUUCACCGGAAGAAAAAGUUUGCUCCCACCCAAGCCCUUAUUGACGCAAUGACCCAAGCUCAAGAGGGCUUGAUCAAGUUCAACAGAGAGAAAGACGCACUGACAACAGCCCUCGGGAAUGAUGAACACGGAGGACGUGUACGAGGCAAAGGCAAAGUUCCGUGGAAAGUAGGGUUUUCCCAGGACAAUGAACCGUACUGUUACAGAAGCCGUAAGAGAAAGACGGACCGGGAUGCAGAUCUUAUGGCGAAGUUUGCAUCGGAACUCCAUGAGUUGAAGCAGACCGUGCAUGAACUAGUAAAAGAAAAAUCAGCUGCAGGGCCGCAUGAAGAUCAUGAAGCGGAUCGCGGAAGCCAGCAGCGGAGAAGCAGCGUGGCUUCCACGGAUGCCCCGCCUGGUGCUAGUGCACCGAUGAUCGAGAUUCGUGCACCGGAGCCUCACUACCCCGUGGAUGAUGUAAAGGAGAUGAAAGAAUGUGAUCUGCAUUAUCCCGUGGGGAACGUUUCCACGAAGGUAGCUAGCGGCAGUGCUUUACCCUGUACACCUGGAGCACUCCACCACAACAACCCCAUUGCAUAUGGCUAUGCUCGUGUCACGGUGGAAGACAUAGUCCAAGGGUUUGAGGACCUGGAGAUUGACAAAGCUACACCCGAAGGGGAGAGAAGACUUGGAGAUGUCAAGCGCAGAUCAUUCUAUGGAAAAAGAAGUACAUAGUGUUUCCAGGCGAGGCGGCAAGGCUAACAAGUCCACCCCCUCCGAUGGUGGUGGUGGUGGUGGCGGUGGUGGUGGUUCACCUACAGCUCCUUCAUGCCAUUCGACGCCGUCCCCCGAUCCACAACCUCCGGCGGGUACGACGCCCCCAAUCCUCCUCCGGCGGGUACGACGCCCCCCAAUCGACCUCCGGCGAAGAAGCAGAAGCAGGCGGACAGCAAGGAAACCCGCUCCUGGACUAUUAACCCGGACCCUUAUGUACCUAAGACCACAAGGGUACCGGAGCCAUCACUGAAGCCUCUCCUCCCAAGGCCUUGGGAACUUAGUGAAGCUGAAACCAAAUUGGCCGCGUCUGCUCAUUAUGAGAAAUGGAAGGCGGAUAUGAAGGCGAUAAAAGAGCCUGAGCCCAAGCAAGUAUUCACUGAGAAGCAAAAGAAGUGGGCUAAGGAUUUUUUGACGACACCGUCCCAAGCCGAGCUGAAUAUGCCUGACGACUAUGGACAUGAACUUCGUAGGCAAGCAAAAAUAUUGAAGGAGGAGAAAGAAGAAAGUAAAAAAAGCGGGAAACAAGUUGACCAGCUCGGGAUGCAGAAUAAACAAUCGAUCCCCCCGCUCAUAGUGAAAGCCGGUCCGGAAGAGGACCCCGAGAUCAUAGCAGCUGCGGCAGCACUUGGAUUGACUGUAGCGAGUGCCAUGAAACAAGCGUCCGAGAUGGGUUUGACUCUUCGUGCCUUCAUAGGCCUUGAGGAUGCGCCAGUAUGUGAGAUAGCAUUACAAUAUGUGCGAGAUGGGCCUCUCGUCGAGCCUGCGCGGGAAAAGAGUCUACCACCACAAAUGCGAAAUCUGCUACGUUGGUACAAGCAAUUCAUAACAUGGGCCGACAAAGAAUAUGUUUAUGCGGAUGUUACAGAGGAGCAUCUGUAGCGACCAGACCUCAAAUGGUCUGUGCUGCUGUGCACCAGUGUCAUCCCUGGAUCAGUAAUGCUGACACACACAGUACAAAUGGAGGAUUUAUAACAGAGUAGCAAUCACACACUUAUUACAUCGAAUAUCUCCGAAGAGAUUAAGUAUGUUAAACAUGGCUUAAGGCCAUCUAAAACGAUAACAGCGGAAGACUUGGAAGAUAAGUGAGUCCAUCAACUCCAGCGGCAUCACUGAGUAUAAGACCACGACCUAAGGCACCUUACUCGUCGUCUGAAAAGUCUGCAACAUGAAACGUUGCAGCCGGAAACGGGUCAGCACAUAGAAUAUGCUGGCAAUGUAACACAUAGAGAAUAAUGAACAAUAACAAUGCUAUACUACAUGCAUAUAUGGCUGGUGGAAAGCUCUAUGGUUAUAGUUUUGCGAAAAGCCAAUUUUAUCCUACUUCAAAGGAAUAAAUUUUAUUUAACUAUCAUGGUGGUUGUGAAACAUUGAGAUGGUUGACAGCAUCUCAAUCCCAAUUAAAAAGUCAUCAAUAACCCAACAAAAUUAAUUAGAAGUAACAUAGUGAUGAGAUUCACAUGAUAAUCCAAGUACUAGAUACUCAAGUUGUCCAUAACCGGGGACACGGCUAAUCAUGAUCAGUUUGUACACUCUGCAGAGGUUUGUGCACUUUUCCCCACAAGACUUGAUCUCCUCCGUUGGAUUACUCGCACUACAUGGUGUUUGAGUAACGGAUGACCAAGACACAGUCUUUCAGAAGUGUUUGCACCUUACGUAUGGGUAGACAGUUACACCUACUUUCCCCUACAUCUGCUAGUCUACCACUGUAAGAGUUCACACAACUUAGUCAACUAUGCUAGAGCCCAUAAUAGCUUGCGGCUGCACACGGAAGUUUCUAGCAUGAAUAAUCUCAUGAUCCCUUUGAACCUGGGUGGCGGUCCAAAAGAAAAACAGGCAAUCCUGGAAUACCCAGGUACCUCAAUCCACCCAGAUGUGAGUUUAAGUUGCCACCUUAAGUAAACCAUUAAUUAACAAUCUCACAUCUGUCAUGAAUUUCACUCAAACCCAAACCACGUCUACGAGCAUAGCAUGGCAAUAAUAAAAGCAACGUAGAAGUAACUCCCAAGGGUUUGAAUGGAAACAGGUAAUAGGUUCUACCUCAACUACUUCCCAAUACCCACAAUUUAAUUAGGUCCUACCCAUGCAAUGUUUGAGGAAAACAGAUCUAAUGCAAUAAAAACUGGGUAUGAACGGGAUAUGAUCAAAGUGUUACUUGCCUUGCUGAUGAUCCGCAAAACCUAGCGAUUCGAAGUAACAAGCGGCACACUCCGGGUACUCUAUCGCAAACAAACAAGCAUACAAUCAGUACUCAUCUAAUGCACAGGUAAAACUCGAAGAAAAGAUCCAACCAGAAGGUUCAACUUAAGAACUCCGGUUUGCAAAAGAAUCAACUCGAAAGAAGCAACGAAAGUCAAACGACGAAAGAAAGAAACUUCGUUUGCUAAUCUGGAUCUAGGUCAAAUUUUACUGUUGCAAAAACUUGUUUGAGUAGGUUAAACGGAAAGAGAAUUUCGAGACGAAACUCUAGGCGCUUGAAUCGCCUGAUUCCGAUAAACGAGCGAAAAGUUAAACAGAAUCGAAGAUUCAAUCAGAAAUCGAAUCCGAGAAAAUAACGAGAAAACUCCGACGAAAAAGAAAAACGGACGAACGGUUAAAUAACGGCCGUUCGUUAACAGAGAAAAACCGACGAACGCGUUCGUUAAAACGAACGGUUCGGUGAACGCUCGCAAAAUAAUAAAACCGAAAAAAAAUGAUUUAGGUUUUUUUUUAACGAAGGGUUUUUUUUAAACGAAAACCGGCAAAGUCAACGGGCGGCGGCAGUACCUCGUCGGGCUCCGGCGGGGCGGCGAGCUCGGGCGGCGGGGUGCAGGGCUCGGGGCGGGCAAGGCGAGGCGGGGGCGGUGGCUCCCGGCNNNNNNNNNNGUUGCGGGCGGCGGCGGGGCUCGGCGGUGAGGGCUCCGGCGGCGGCGGUGGUGAGAGAAAGAGAGGGGGGUAUUUAAGGAGGGGGGGUCCGGUGCCUUGGGGAGGGGGCAAGGGCGGCGGGCGGCGUAGCCGGCCGGGACUUGGGCGGCGAUCCCGUCUCUGGGGCGGAGACGACGGGGCGGCGGGGCUGGGCCGUCGGCUGGGCCUUUGGCCCAGUCGGCGCGCGGGCGUUUUUUUUUAAAUAAGUUCCGCGAUAAAAAUUACGUCGAAAAAUAAAUAAAAAUCAGAAAAAUAUGAAAUAAAUUUUCCCCGUCUUGUUAGAAAAUCUAGAAUAGGGUGAACAUUUUUUUAAAUCAAAACAAAUAUUUUGAAAACAUGCAAUAUUUUUUUAAUGCAAUAAAAAUUGCAAAUAAAAUCCAAAUAAAUUCCAAAUAAUGAUUUCAACAUUUUUCCUCCAGUAUUUCAAUUGUUUUGGAGAAGUCAUGUUUUCUCCUCUCGUAUAUUUUUAAAAUGAAAUAUUUUUCCGGAGGGAAAAUAAUUAAAACCAAUAUCCUCGUCUUAUUAUUUGAUGAAAAUCAAAUAUGAAAAUUUAAGAAAAAUCCCCAACUCUCUCCGAGGGUCCUUGAGUUGCUUAGGAUUUAUCGAGGAUUUGUCAAAAUGCAAUAAAACAUGAUAUGCAAUGAUGAUCUAUGUAUAACAUACCAAAUUGAAAAUUUGGGAUGUUACAAACCUACCCCCCUUAAGAUGAAUCUCGCCCUCGAGAUUCGGGUUGGCUAGAAAACAGGUGAGAGUGGUCUUUCUGUAGAUCUUCCUCUUGCUCCCAGGUGACUUCAUCUUCUGUGUGGUGACUCCACUGAAGUUUGCAAAACUUGAUAACCUUGCUGCGGGUAACUCGGCUGGCAUACUCGAGAAUCUUAACUGGUUUCUCCUCAUAAGUCAAAUCACUUUCCAACUGUAUCGCUUCCAGUGGCACAGUAUCUCUCAGUGGUAUCUCAGCCAUCUCUGCGUGCCACUUCUUCAACUGCGAAACGUGAAAUACAUCAUGUACUCCAGACAAUCCCUCGGGCAAUUCCAGCUUGUAGGCAACUUCUCCCAUUCGUUCCAACACUCUGUAUGGUCCAAUAAAACGGGGCGCUAACUUUCCCUUAACUCCAAAGCGCUUCACUCCUCGAAUGGGUGAUACUCGAAGAUACACUCUGUCUCCGACUUCGUGAACGGUCUCCUUUCGUUUAGAAUCAGCAUAACUCUUCUCUCUGGACUGGGCUACCUUGAGCCUAUCGCGAAUCAACCUUACUUUCUGUUCAGACUCCUUAAUCAAAUCUGGUCCAAACAACUGACGGUAUCCAACUUCGUCCCAUAACAACGGUGUUCUACACCUCCUUCCGUACAAGGCUUCGAAAGGGGCCAUCUUCAUACUGGUUUGAUAACUGUUGUUAUAAGAAAACUCCGCAUAUGGCAAAUUGUCGUUCCAACUAGAUCCAUAAUCUAGUGCACAUGCUCUCAACAUGUCCUCCAAAAUCUGGUUGACUCUCUCGGUCUGUCCAUCUGUCUGCGGGUGAAAUGUUGUACUAAAUUCCAGCCUGGUUCCCAACGUUUCAUGUAACUGCUUCCAAAACUUCGAGGUAAAUUGGGUUCCUCUGUCUGAUACAAUGGUCCUCGGAACUCCAUGAAAACAUACGAUCCUGGUCAUGUAUAUCUUUGCCAAUUUAGCACUGGUGUAAGUGGUCUUCACUGGAAUGAAAUGAGCCACUUUCGUCAAACGGUCGACUACAACCCAUAUCGAGUCAUAGCCUGAACGAGUCCUGGGUAAUCCCGUGAUAAAAUCCAUGCCUAUUUUAUCCCACUUCCAUUCGGGUAUCGGCAAUGGUUGUAGCAAUCCUGCUGGCUUCUGAUGCUCUGCCUUCACUCUCUGACAUACAUCACAAACUGCUACAUACUCUGCAAUAUCCUUCUUCAUUCCGGUCCACCAGAAAGUAUUCUUCAAAUCCAAAUACAUCUUGGUAUUCCCUGGGUGAAUCGAGUAUGGUGAAUCAUGGGCUUCUUGCAAAAUCAACUUCCUGAUCUCCGGAUCAUUUGGCACAUAUACGCGGUCCUCGAACCAUAGGGUAUCGUGCUCAUCCUCACGAAAUCCCUUGGCUUUUCCUUUGCUCAUCUUCUCCUUUAUCUCUUCAAUCUCCUUGUCUGUCUUCUGAGCUUCUCUGAUCCUUUCCAUCAAGGUAGACUGAAUCUCCAAUGUCGCUAAAUAGCCUCUUGGGACUAUCUCCAAACAUAGCUCGCGUAGGUCCUCGGCUAACUCCUGAGGUAACUCUCCUGUCAUGAGGGUGUUGACAUGAGUCUUGCGGCUCAACGCGUCUGCUACUACGUUAGCCUUUCCAGGGUGAUAAUGCAAUCUCAUAUCAUAAUCCUUAAUGAGCUCCAACCAUCUCCUCUGUCUGAGAUUCAACUCCUUCUGCGUGAAAAUGUACUUCAAACUCUUGUGAUCCGUGUACACCUCACAAUGGUUUCCGAUGAGAAAAUGUCUCCAUGUCUUCAAUGCAUGCACCACGGCUGCUAAUUCCAAAUCAUGCGUAGCAUAAUUCUUCUCAUGGGGUUUAAGUUGUCGUGAAGCAUAUGACACAACUCUUCCUUCCUGCAUAAGCACUGCUCCAAGUCCUCGACGAGAAGCGUCGCAAUAAACUUCAUAAUCCUUGCGUUGAUCUGGCAGAAUCAGCACUGGUGAUGUAACCAAUCGUUUCUUCAACUCUUGGAAACUAGCUUCACAUUCCUCAGUCCAAUUGAAUUUGGUGUCCUUCUUCAAUAGCUCAGUCAUGGGCUUAGCAAUCCUUGAGAAAUUCUCGAUGAAUCUCCGGUAGUAUCCUGCAAGUCCAAGAAAACUCCGGAUUUCUCCAACUGUCGUGGGUGAUUCCCAACUUGUCACUGUGUCAACCUUGGCAGGGUCUACUGCUAUUCCUUCUCCAGAAAUAACAUGUCCAAGGAAUCCAACUUCCUUCAACCAAAACUCACAUUUGCUGAACUUGGCAUAUAAUUGAUGUUCUCUGAGCUUCUCAAGUACCAAUCGCAAAUGCUCCUCAUGCUCUUCCUCAUCCUUGGAAAAGAUUAAAAUAUCAUCAAUGAACACCACGACGAACUUAUCCAAAAACUCCAUAAACACUUUGUUCAUCAGGUUCAUGAAAUAGGCAGGUGCGUUAGUCAGACCAAAUGACAUAACGGUAUACUCAUACAAUCCAUAUCUGGUGGUAAAUGCCGUCUUGGGUAUAUCCUGCUCUCGAAUCUUUAAUUGAUGGUAUCCCGAUCGUAGAUCGAUCUUGGAAAAUACCUUAGCUCCUUGUAGGCGGUCAAACAAAUCAUUGAUCAUCGGCAGUGGGUACUUGUUUUUGAUGGUCACUUCAUUCAAUCCUCGGUAAUCAACAACCAUCCUCAGCGAUCCAUCUUUCUUCUCCACUAGAAGUACUGGUGAUCCCCAAGGUGACGAACUUGGGCGAAUAUAUCCUUUAUCCAGUAACUCCUUGAUCUGCUUCUUAAUUUCCUCCAAAUCCUUUGCGGGCAUCCUGUACGGUCUCUUAGAUAUUGGCCCUGUGCCUGGCAAAAGUUCAAUCAAGAACUCAAUGUCUCUAUCCGGUGGCAUGCCUGGCAACUCUUCUGGAAAUACAUCCGGAUAAUCUUUCACCACUAGUACUUCCUCCUGUACAACUCCUGAUAAGGAAUUUACUUGAGUCCUCUUCGGCAUAUGUCGAGAUACAUACUUGAUCCUCUUUCCUUCCGGGGUGGUAAGCAAAAUCGUCUUGCUGGCACAAUCGAUGUUUCCUCCAUACAACGAUAGCCAAUCCAUUCCCAAAAUCACAUCCAAACCUUGCGAUUCCAAAACAAUGAGGUCUGAGGGGAAAACAUGCCUACCAAUGGCCAAUGGUAUCCGAAAACAUCCUUGGGUGGCCAUAUACUCUGCUCCUGGCGAGGUUACUAACAUAGGGUUUCUGAGAACUUUGGUGGACAUCUUAAACUUAUUCACGAAUCCCCUUGAUAUGUAUGAAUGCGAUGCACCAGUAUCGAAAAGAACGGUUGCAGUAAAUGACUUAACCAAAAACUUACCUAUUACUGCAUCAGGCUGAGCUUCAACCUCGUCCACGCUCACGUGGUUCACGUGUCCUUUGUUGAACGGGUUCGGCUUCUUCCCAGAGCUUCCAUUGCCAUUUCCAUUUUGGGCUUCAGGACAUUCAUUGGCAUAAUGUCCAUUCUUCUGGCACUUAAAACAAGUGACUUGGCUCAGGUCCCUCUUGGCUGGGGUAGAUGGGUUGGUGCGGUUCUGUCCGUUGCUUCCUCCAUUCCCAUUACCAAUCUUGGAGCCAUUAUGGUUGUGCGAACUACCUCCUCCAUGGGUAUGCUGAAACUGUCCUCCCGGCUUCGGGGUAAAUCGAGGCUUCUGCUGAGCUCCUGAAUCAUACUUCCCUUGUCCAUACUUCCUUUUACGAUUUUCAAUCUGUUGUUGCUUCCCUUCAAUCAUGAGGGCUCUAUCUACCAACUCCUGGUAGUUGUUGAAGGUUGCUACCAUCAACUGCAUACUCAGUUCAUCAUUCAGUCCUUCCAAAAACUUCUCCUGCUUGGCAGCAUCUGUAGCAACGUCAUCUGGUGCAUAACGUGCUAACUUACUAAAUUCCUCCACAUACUGGCCUACGGUGCGUCCUCCUUGGCGUAGGUUACGAAACUCACGCUUCUUCAUAGCCAUAGCUCCUGCUGAAACAUGAGCUGUACGGAAAGCUUGCUGAAACUGGUCCCAUGUGACAGUGUCAAUAGGGUGCGUGGCUGUAUAAUUCUCCCACCAUGAUGCUGCGGGUCCAUCAAGCUGAUGUGCGGCAAAACGCACUCUUUCCGCAUCUGUGCAUCCUGCAGUGGUCAACUCCCUUCCAACUUUGCGGAGCCAAUCAUCUGCUACAAUCGGCUCGGUGCUACUGGAAAACACCGGCGGGUUUAGCCUCAGGAAACGGGCUAAGUGAUCAACAGGUGGUGGUGGCGGUGGGUUGUUGUUGUUGUUGUUGCCUUGGUUCUGCACUAACACUUGCAUCAGGGCAUUCUAUUGCUGAAUCAACUGGAUGAUCUCUGGUGGGAAAACAAAUCCGGUGUCGCGUCUCGGAGGCAUCUGAUGGGUUUAGAAAAGAUGAGAGUUAAGAAUAGAAUGAGGUCUAGAGGGAAAACACUACCCAUAUGCUCAUGAGACAAAUUCAAUCAAUAUCACUCAAUCAAUUCAAACAAGGCAAAACAAUCGAUCUGACUAGCGUUACAAAGUGCUUGAACUAUACUAUUGAAUGGGGGAAAACUACUACUGAUAUGGUGGUCUACUAGAAAUUCUGAUCCGUUGAAGACUCCAUGAUGUCUGCUCCAGCUUCAUCAAUCCAGUCAUCUUCACUUGGUUCCGAGUCGGUGUCGUCGAUGAUGAUGUAGUUAUCCGGACAAGUGCAUUCGUCGACUUCUGCUUUUGGCACUGGAUUUCCCACGAAUGCUCCAAUCUUCUUCUCCAGGUCGUCAAUCUUUCCUACUAGUGCGUUGAUUUCCUCCAAGUAAUCUUCGCGUGUAGCCUUGAGUUCUUCUUGGAGCUCCUUGAUCUUCGUUAAUGCCUUCUUCAGUUCUUCCUUGUCCGUGCACAUCUGGUUCUCCUGGCGACGAAUAUGUUGGUUCUGCUCCUGGAUGAAUGCUGCAAUUGAUCCAUCCCUCUUGGUCUUGAUCAUCUCCCAUUGCGCGUCUCGACGUCCACAAAUUUGGUAAAUUGUAUCCUUAAGCUCCUGGUGAUAGACUUCUCCAAUGCGUCCCAUGGCGAUGUGUGCGGCCAUGCUCUUCCCUAAACUCCAAGUUGGUGCAUCGAAAACCAAUCUUAUGGCACUAAUAUCCUUCCUGGAAUGAUAACUUGAAUCUUCCAUCUCUCCUCUUCAGGUAAUGUGGCGUUGUAGGUUCCGGUGAUGCUUGGUAUUCCUAUGUUCAAGUACUUGGUGACUUCCUUCAAAUGUCGACCAAACGGCGUGUCUUCAUCUGGUUGCAUGAACUUGCUCCUUGCAUUCGCCAUUCCUAAAAGAGUAGAAAGUGGAGAGGGGUCAGAAAUGAGAAGAGAGAAGCUUUCUAGGGCUUAAGCUUAGUGGUCGUGUCCUACAGUCAGCGUGUGCUCUGAUACCAACUUUGUAGCGACCAGACCUCAAAUGGUCUGUGCUGCUGUGCACCAGUGUCAUCCCUGGAUCAGUAAUGCUGACACACACAGUACAAAUGGAGGAUUUAUAACAGAGUAGCAAUCACACACUUAUUACAUCGAAUAUCUCCGAAGAGAUUAAGUAUGUUAAACAUGGCUUAAGGCCAUCUAAAACGAUAACAGUGGAAGACUUGGAAGAUAAGUGAGUCCAUCAACUCCAGCGGCAUCACUGAGUAUAAGACCACGACCUAAGGCACCUUACUCGUCGUCUGAAAAGUCUGCAACAUGAAACGUUGCAGCCCGAAAACGGGUCAGCACAUAGAAUAUGCUGGCAAUGUAACACAUAGAGAAUAAUGAACAAUAACAAUGCUAUACUACAUGCAUAUAUGGCUGGUGGAAAGCUCUAUGGUUACAGUUUUGCGAAAAGCCAAUUUUAUCCUACUUCAAAGGAAUAAAUUUUAUUUAACUAUCAUGGUGGUUGUGAAACAUUGAGAUGGUUGACAGCAUCUCAAUCCCAAUUAAAAAGUCAUCAAUAACCCAACAAAAUUAAUUAGAAGUAACAUAGUGAUGAGAUUCACAUGAUAAUCCAAGUACUAGAUACUCAAGUUGUCCAUAACCGGGGACACGGCUAAUCAUGAUCAGUUUGUACACUCUGCAGAGGUUUGUGCACUUUUCCCCACAAGACUUGAUCUCCUCUGUUGGAUUACUCGCACUACAUGGUGUUUGAGUAACGGAUGACCAAGACACAGUCUUUCAGAAGUGUUUGCACCUUACGUAUGGGUAGACAGUUACACCUACUUUCCCCUACAUCUGCUAGUCUACCACUGUAAGAGUUCACACAACUUAGUCAACUAUGCUAGAGCCCAUAAUAGCUUGCGGCUGCACACGGAAGUUUCUAGCAUUAAUAAUCUCAUGAUCCCUUUGAACCUGGGUGGCGGUCCAAAAGAAAAACAGGCAAUCCUGGAAUACCCAGGUACCUCAAUCCACCCAGAUUUGUGUUUAAGUUGCCACCUUAAGUAAACCAUUAAUUAACAAUCUCACAUCUGUCAUGAAUUUCACUCAAACCCAAACCACGUCUACGAGCAUAGCAUGGCAAUAAUAAAAGCAACGUAGAAGUAACUCCCAAGGGUUUGAAUGGAAACAGGUAAUAGGUUCUACCUCAACUACUUCCCAAUACCCACAAUUUAAUUAGGUCCUACCCAUGCAAUGUUUGAGGAAAACAGAUAUAAUGCAAUAAAAACUGGGUAUGAACGGGAUAUGAUCAAAGUGUUACUUGCCUUGCUGAUGAUCCGCAAAACCUAGCGAUUCGAAGUAACAAGCGGCACACUCCGGGUACUCUAUCGCAAACAAACAAGCAUACAAUCAGUACUCAUCUAAUGCACAGGUAAAACUCGAAGAAAAGAUCCAACCAGAAGGUUCAACUUAAGAACUCCGGUUUGCAAAAGAAUCAACUCGAAAGAAGCAACGAAAGUCAAACGACGAAAGAAAGAAACUUCGUUUGCUAAUCUAGAUCUAGGUCAAAUUUUACUGUUGCAAAAACUUGUUUGAGUAGGUUAAACGGAAAGAGAAUUUCGAGACGAAACUCUAGGCGCUUGAAUCGCCUGAUUCCGAUAAACGAGCGAAAAGUUAAACAUAAUCGAAGAUUCGAUCAGAAAUCGAAUCCGAGAAAAUAACGAGAAAACUCCGACGAAAAAGAAAAACGGAUGAACGGUUAAAUAACGGCCGUUCGUUAACAGAGAAAAACCGACGAACGCGUUCGUUAAAACGAACGGUUCGGUGAACGCUCGCAAAAUAAUAAAACCGAAAAAAACCGAUCUAGGUUUUUUUUAACGAAGGUUUUUUUUGAAAACGAAAACCGGCAAAGUCAACGGGCGGCGGCAGUACCUCGUCGGGCUCCGGUGAGGGGCUCCGGCGGGGCGGCGAGCUCGGGCGGCGGGGUGCUGGGCUCGGGGCNNNNNNNNNNNNNNNNNNNNNNNNNNNNNNNNNNNNNNNNNNNNNNNNNNNNNNNNNNNNNNNNNNNNNNNNNNNNNNNNNNNNNNNNNNNNNNNNNNNNNNNNNNNNNNNNNNNNNNNNNNNNNNNNNNNNNNNNNNNNNNNNNNNNNNNNNNNNNNNNNNNNNNNNNNNNNNNNNNNNNNNNNNNNNNNNNNNNNNNNNNNNNNNNNNNNNNNNNNNNNNNNNNNNNNNNNNNNNNNNNNNNNNNNNNNNNNNNNNNNNNNNNNNNNNNNNNNNNNNNNNNNNNNNNNNNNNNNNNNNNNNNNNNNNNNNNNNNNNNNNNNNNNNNNNNNNNNNNNNNNNNNNNNNNNNNNNNNNNNNNNNNNNNNNNNNNNNNNNNNNNNNNNNNNNNNNNNNNNNNNNNNNNNNNNNNNNNNNNNNNNNNNNNNNNNNNNNNNNNNNNNNNNNNNNNNNNNNNNNNNNNNNNNNNNNNNNNNNNNNNNNNNNNNNNNNNNNNNNNNNNNNNNNNNNNNNNNNNNNNNNNNNNNNNNNNNNNNNNNNNNNNNNNNNNNNNNNNNNNNNNNNNNNNNNNNNNNNNNNNNNNNNNNNNNNNNNNNNNNNNNNNNNNNNNNNNNNNNNNNNNNNNNNNNNNNNNNNNNNNNNNNNNNNNNNNNNNNNNNNNNNNNNCGGUGGUAGUGAGAGAAAGAGAGGGGGGUAUUUAAGGAGGGGGGGUCCGGUGCCUUGGGGAGGGGACAAGGGCGGCGGGCGGCGUAGCCGGCCGGGACUCGGGCGGCGAUCCCGUCUCCGGGGCGGAGACGACGGGGCGGCGGGGCUGGGCCGUCGGCUGGGCCUUUGGCCCAGUCGGCGCGCGGGCGUUUUUUUUAAAUAAGUUCUACGAAAAAAUUACGUAGAAAAAUAACUAAAAAUCAGAAAAAUAUGAAAUAAAUUUUUCCCGUCUAGUUGGAAAAUCUAGAAUAGGGUGAACAUUUUUUUAAAUCAAAAUAAAUAAUUUGAAAACAUGCAAUAUUUUUUAAUGCAAUAAAAAUUGCAAAUAAAAUCCAAAUAAUAAUUUCAACAUUUUUCCUCCAGUAUUUCAAUUGUUUUGGAGAAGUCAUGUUUUCUCCUCUCGUAUAUUUUUAAAAUGAAAUAUUUUUCCGGAGGGAAAAUAAUUAAAACCAAUAUCCUCGUCUUAUUAUUUGAUGAAAAUCAAAUAUGAAAAUUUAAGAAAAAUCCCCAACUCUCUCCGAGGGUCCUUGAGUUGCUUAGGAUUUAUCGAGGAUUUGUCAAAAUGCAAUAAAACAUGAUAUGCAAUGAUGAUCUAUGUAUAACAUACCAAAUUGAAAAUUUGGGAUGUUACAGCAUCACACCAAACGGUACUCUGUACAAGUUCAUAUGAGUGAAUUGUUCGAGCUGUUCAAUCUGCGCGACCUCGACAAAUCUAUGCUGAGUUGCUACGUUCCGUAAGUGAUUUAUUUCUACCUCAUCUCGUUCUUCAUUGCCUGCACUAUAUAUAUAUAUUGUCCUAACUAUAUUGUUGCGUACGCUAUUAUGCAGAUUGAAGAUUUGGGAAUGCAAAAUAAGAAACAUCCAUGAUGUUGGGUUCAUUGACCCACAUAUCGUUAAUGGACAUGUGUUACAAAAUCACCCCGAAGACGUGGAGAAAGACUUGUACAAGUUUCUUAGAAAGCAUCAACUCAAAAGUCAUAUUCUAUUUCCUUACCAUUUUGGGUGAGUGUUUCUCUCUUGUGCCCAUUUCUUUUGUUUACUCCAUGCAUGGUAUGUCUAAUCCAUGAGUUAUGCAUGACUGUGCAUGUAACGUGUCCGCAGGUUCCACUGGAUUCUGCUAAAUAUUGAACUUCACACCUCCAGAGUUCUAAUCAUGGACUCUAUGGAUUCGGAUCCAAAGCGUUGGGCCGACAAGAGAAAAAUGCUGCAAAAGUAAUUAUUUUCAAUCAUUUGAGCUCUAUAUCGAUCGGUCUCUUUCGUUCAUUUCCUAAUAUCAAGUAACUAAUAACUCCCUUGUUCAUUUAAUUUUCUUUACCCUGUAGGGUUUGGAGACGGUUCUCAGAAGAAAUUGUCGGUGAAUUCAAACAUGAGCUAGAUUUUAGAAGGUUAGUUAAUGUGGAUAAGCAGCCACCGGGGACCAAUCUAUGUGGAUACUAUGUUUGUGAGAACAUCCGGAGACACACCUCUGAGCGGAAGGCAUCGGAUAGCGUGCGGAAGGCGACGGAUAACUUGCGGAGGAGGCUUAGUCCAGAAGCUCGCUUCCGACCAAUUCAAGAUGAAUUAGCAGGAUUUUUCAUGAGGGAAGUCAUCAAUCCUAAAGGAGAACACUAUACCGAGGACGAAGAAAUUUAUAUGCAUACCCGAGAUUGAAACUUGUUCGAAGUUGUAUGUGGUCAUCCAUCCUAAUUGUGUAUGGAAACUUGUUCGAAGUUGUAUAUGGUCACCCGAGAUUGAAUAUAUAUUAUAUAUUCCUCUUGAAUUCUUCUUGUUUGAAAUUUCAUAUGCAUGUAUAUAGUAGCGUAGAAUAUGUGUACUGAAACUUCAUCAAAAUUAAAAUAAAACACAAAAUAAAAUAUAAAAGAAAUAAAACACUACAAAUUAAAAAGAAACCAGGUUUAGGGGGGUUAAAACCCUAAACCUGCGGAGGAGGCCUUUAGUCCCGGUUAGCCACGAGAACCGGGACUAAAGGUCCUCCGCCCCGACGGACCCCUGGCGCCUACGUGGACGGGCCUUUAGUCCUGGUUAGCCACGAGAACCGGGACUAAAGGUCCUCCGCCCCGACGGACCCCUGGCGCCCACGUGGACGGGCCUUUAGUCGCGGUACGUAAGAGGGGCGACUAAAGGGGGGGGUCUUUAGUCGCGCAUAUUUAGUCCCGGUUGCACAGCCGGGACUAAAGGCAUUUGCGAACCGGGACUAAAGGCCCAUUUUCUACCAGUGCCGCACCAUGUCCAUAUAGUGGGCACGGGCCUCGCCGAUAGUCAUGUCAGCAUGCAUCGGCGACGAGGGUGGCGCCGGUUCGUCCUCAGUUGUGUCCUCCAUUUCGUUGGCCGGCGUUUGCCUGCCAGCCGGCAGCAAUGGAAGUCAUCUCUUUCUUCUGCUUCGACGAGAAUCUGUCCCAGAGGAGCAAGCACCUGCAACGAACACAUGCGUGCGGUUUGAGGGCGUUGGAGAUACCCUAAAUAGUUAUCUCUAAAAACUUGAUAAAAAAUUUAAAAGUUUACUUUUUCAAAAAAUCUAUACGCAUUACAUUAUAGAACAGCUGAAGUAAAAAAUUGCUACUGAUUACUCCAUGAAUUUGUCUACGAGUCCUGAGCGAGUAAAAAUUGUAGACUACCAUGACCGAAUAAACAACCACUGUUGGAUGGUACUGUUCCUUGUCACGUGAACUUCAGUUAUGAUAUUUUUGCCAUACAGUACAUCUAUGAAGGUACAACUACGUAAAAUUCAGGUCCGUCAUGAGGUGGAUGGUUUACUUAUGGUUUUCAGUGAUCUCUUGUUAUGGUUUAUGGGGUGGCGCAGCUGGAACACGAAAGAGAUUUUUGGUUGAAUUGCUUGUAUAAGUAAACUCAGUCACUUCUCGUUAGGGGUGACUUUCUUAUUACAUGCUGAGAUUGAUGAAGAUAAAAACACAUGAUGCCCAUUUGUCGGUCUUCAUAACGUGGAAUUUAGGAUAUUCACAAAAGCAGACGCUAAUGGCAUCUUGCAACGCGGACUCUUAAAUCAUCCGCAUACGUCCGAACCGGUUCAGACCUGUUAUGUUAUCCAAUGAGGAUCUGUAUCAGUCCGCUCUGCGGUCCAGACACAUUUUUUUCAUAAACCAAUGACAAACUAGGAUGGGUGUGCUUUGGGGGUGUCUGAACCGCUGCCACAUCCGCUUCUGUCUACCCUGACACUCACCCGCGAGCGUAUCCUGCCCGAAACGGUCAGCGCCGCUCCAGAGCUCAGUGCCGUAUUCAUGCCCGGUCAAAGCGCACACGACCUCUCACUACUGACGGCAUUAAAGCGGCAUACCGGCCGAGAUAGCGCCGCCUGCGCUGAUUCCUGGUGCAUGUGACCGCUCCAUGUUCAAACGACGUUAUGGUUGUUCGUGGCCUUACAUUAAUGACACGCGGUAGUCGAGGAGUCUACUCCAGUGCAACUCGUCCGUCCGUCUGCCGCCCAGCAUUGACACUCGCCCGCUAAUUCCAGCCCCGGCCAUAGCCACGGUCAUCCUCCUCCGGUACCUUUCUCCUCUCCGCACCAUGCCCACCAUGGUCUUCACGUGCUCCAAAGUCCUCUGGGACGGACUCUCGUCAGAGCAGAAGAAGGAGAUGGCCGCCAUUGCUGCUGGCUGGCAGGCUAGCAGGGACGGAGGCCGACGACGUCCCAAUGGAGGACGCGGCCGAGGAUGAGCUGGUGCAUGCCGGCAUCACCAUUGUGAGGCCCAUGCCCACUAUAUGUACAUGGUGUGGGAGAAGCGGGAGGCCAAGUUCCGGGAGGCGUAGGAUGACCAGGCCUACAACCUCCAUCUCCUCGACGAGCACUAGUAGACGGAGGUGCAGCUCGCCGCCGGCAUGGCCAUCACGCUGAACGCGGACAUGGUGGAGCAGGCAGCGCUGCCUGAGUCCUACCGCUCCGCCCACGAAAUCCGUCGUGACCAAUGGUGGUAGCGCUAAUAUUAGGUUGAACUGGAGGCCACAUACAGGAGAUGGAUGAGGCGGCGGACGAGAUGUUCAGCAACAACGACGAUGAGGGGGCCAUCGUCGGCUCCACCAAGGUCGCGCCCCGCCGCCAUGACCACGAAGCCGACACAUCCACGGGAGUCGCCGACAGCGAGGCGAGGAAGAGUAGCGCAUGCUAGGUCACCGGCGCUCAGGUCCCAAGAAGGCCACCGCUCUUCCCCUCGCCUGAAGCCAAUCUUGGCGGGCUGAAAAUCGUCGCCCGAGUAGCCGCUCAAACUGCGGUGGCGGAGGCAGAGCUGGAGACUGUCGGGGCGGAACUGGAGAAGGCCUCCUUCACCAUCUUUAUCAAUGUCUUAAUGAGAUAUGUCAGGACUAUCUUUAUGGAGGAGGAAAAUCUAUGCGUAAUGGAUUUCGAGGUCAAUUGGCGAUGAUCAUCCUUUACAUUAGCAUCAUCGAUAUACUUGCCACUACAUCAGGGAGUAAACAGGAAGUUGUAAUCUUUAUCAGCGCCUUAAUGAGAUAUGUCAGGACACAUCUUGCACGUAUAACCCACGAACAAUGAUUCUUGUAUUCCACAUCUGAUCGUGUAAUGCACUUUGGAGUUUGACUUGUCCACCUUGAAUGGCCGAUGAUACUUAACCGCGUAGUCCUUGAGCCACAUCUGAAGUUCUACCAAGGUUUAAAAGUUUGUUCCUUCACGAACACCAGACACAUCUGGUCGGUUAUCUCACUUGGAAGAUAACCUUGGUGCAAGAAUUUUACUUCUGCCACCAUAAACAAUAGCCUUAUUGGUGACGCUUAGGUCACGGAACAAUGAUGUCUCAUGAUCCCAGCCUAUUACCUUUUAUUAAGCUUUGGUUUCUUUAGUUAUCAAAACGUCCUCAUCUAUUUCUUCAUUGGGUCAAGUCAACUCCAUCACUUUCAUCCAUCCAAUUUAGCUUGCUCCGGAGCUAUGCCACAAGAUCGGCAAGUUUAUAUCUAGUGCCAAACACCAUCACUACCUCCUUCUUCGAGUCACCAUAUUCAGCAUUUCCCUUCUCAAAAGUGGCAUAGUACACAUGAUGAACAUUCACGAUUCUCAUCAUCUACAAACAUAGUAACCGAACAUGCAUCAAUAUUUUUUUAAAUGGAUGAUCUAGGGUUUCUCCAAAUCGGUACAAUGCGGAUAUUUCGACCAAUAAAAGGAGUAGGAACGGUGAAGAAUACGUGGAGGGGUCCAAGGGGAAGAUAAUUCACGAAUUUGAAGCUCUGGUUCACUAUAUUUAGUGGCAUUAGGGAGCAGUGAGAGGGGGCUAGCCGGGGUGGAGAAAGGAAGAAAAGAGAGGGUUUGGCCAAAAGAGUAGGGGCUGACCGUUUUGGUUCUGCGAAGGGGCAUGGCGCCCUAGGCUGGGGCAUCAUGAUUAUCAGCAUGGCUCCCUCUUUUAGGUUGAGUUCUAGCGCAAGCCGAUGUGGCAAGUCAGCGCUGAUCAGCGGCAAAUCUAGAAAGAAAAUGGAGUGCAAGCUUAAAGUUAAUGGCUAGUAAGCCUAACACUUUCCCCGCAAAAAAAAGAGUAAGCUAAACACUUUUUUUUUGCAAAAAAUGGCACAUUUAGCAAGAUUGCCAUUCUCUUCUAACCCUAUUUCCCAAAUAACCUCAAUGUUUCCUAGAUAAGUACCAAGAACAUGUACUAUUUACUAGUUUUUUUAGGAUUGUUUUCAAAAUAUGAAGUUUUGAAAAAACACAUCUAUGUAGUAAAAUUGCCAUUAUCUUUCAAUCAUGUUCUCCAAAUAACCUCAAUUGUUUCUAAAUUACUACUAAGCACAUGUAGUAUUUAUUAGAAUACUUUAGGAUUUUAAAAAUAGAUAUUUUGCCUGAUCCCAAAAGACCAUUGGAACAACGGGGGUUUGUAGAUGGAGUGGGGAAGUGGCUAGUGGCUGGUACAGAGUAGUAGAAAAAAAUAAGUAUUCAAUAUUUUGGAGGGCAGACUUCAGCAUGUUGAAGUGUGUCUACUAGAAUGGUGUUGAUCUGUGGCGUUCUUGACCAAGGCGUCAUGUUGUCUAGCAUGGCGUCCGGAGCCUGAGCAACAUGAAAACAAACCAUUUUAUGAAAUAGUUUUAAAUCAUUUUUUUAAGAAAGGGCUAACGCCCCCCCCCCCCGCCCCAACUUUUAUUAAAGCCAAGGCAGCCACGACAGGACCAGACUGUUAAACAGCUCUCGGCGACAACCAAAGUAGCUGUCGCGGAAGACACAUGCAAGGGUUUAAACUACUGCCCUACUACAUCUCUCACAGAGAGUUUUUUCAGAAAGGUAGAUAGAGUACAGCUGGAGAGAGCGGUACAAGAACAAGAUGAUAAUACACCCCCCCAAGCCCCAUUACCCUAGCUACGUUCAGCUAGUCCAGGCGAUUCUAAGCAGUUGCCUUCUUCGCCGAUCCAAAAGUCUUAAGCACUGGAGAAGUAAAGCACCCUGGACCUCUGAACACAAGAUUUUCCACUACCUGAUUGUUUCCCCCACCUGAUCCAACACACAGCGUAUACUUUGUCAUCUUCUCCCCUGAAAGACAAAGUCACUACGCAAAUGCCAUAAGCACCACAAGGUAGCAGAGAUAGCAAUGUUAAUAGCUUCACAUUGUUUCUUCUUCUUCGAGAAGGAAGAUAACGAUGUAAAAGAGACAGGCGGGGUUAUAUUAAAAGGUUCAGCAAUCACAUUCCAAAUUUCACUCGCAACAAUGCAUUCAAAUAGUAAGUGUUGCACUGAUUCCGGUUUAGCACAAAAGACACAGGUCAUAUCUUCAACAAGCCUUCUUUUUGCAAGAUUAUCUCUAGUUAAGCUUUUGUUAUUAUACACCAGCCACAUUAAAACAUGAAUAUUAGGGGGAACUUUAUCUUCCAUAUGAAAUCUUUAAUAUCAGAGGAAAUCCCGCCAAAGUUAAUCAUCUUAUAAAAGGAUUUAACAGAAUAUUGACCAGAAGACUCCAAGCUCCAAAUGGGGCUAUCUGUUUGGGAGGACAAUGUAGUUUGUUUAACCAGAUCUACUAAAAGGUUCCAUUUAUAUAUAAUGGACUCAUCCACACAUCUCCUAAAAGUGAGCCGAAGCUGCUCACCAUCCCAGACUUGGGUAAGAGUGGCAUCUUGCUGUUGGCAAAUACUCCCUCCGUUCCAAAAUAUAUGGUGUAUUGGUUUCCGUGCAAGUCAACCAUUUAAAUGUUUGACCAAGAUUAUAGAAUAAAAUAACAACAUCUGCAAUACCUAAUAGAUAAAAUAUGAAACUACUUUUUCGUGAUGGAUCAAAUGAUAUAAUUUUUUAUUUUGGGUAUUGAUAUAUUUUUCUGAAAACUCGGUCAAACGUGCACUUGUUUGAAUUUUGAAAAAACAAAUACACAUUAUAUAAAGGAACGGAGGGAGUACUAUAUAAAUCCAAGAAAGCAGUUUUGAGGGAACAUUCCCCCACCCAAUUAUCAUGCCAGAAAGCAAUGUGCUCACCAUUCCCGAGGGUCCAUCUCCAAAAGGUUUUCGCUGCGGCAAAAGCCCAAGAAAUGCUUUUCCAAAAAGGAGAACCCAGGGCAGGUUUGGCAUAGAAAAUGUUAGGUUUAUCUGUAGCAUAUUUGAAACAUAAAAGCUUUUUCCAAUCUCCCUCCCUCCCAUCAUAAAAUCUCUUCCCCCACGAGGCAAGAAGAGACAUAUUAAAUUCCUUGAGGUUAGGAAACCCCAAACCACCAAUCUCUUUCCUUCUAGCCACAAGGCCCCAACUAGCUAGAUGGUACUUAUGGAUAUCACCCACAUUGCCCCAGAAAAAAUGAGACAUUUGGGAAGAAAUCAUGUCAAUAGCCCAUUUAGGGAAUUUCAUCAUAGCCAUGAGAUAGGAGAGAAUACUAGCAAUGCAGGUAGUUAAUAAGAUCAGCUUGCCUCUAUAAGACAAGAGUUUGCCUAACCAACCAGCAAUGUUUCUAAUAAUCCCGUCAAUAAUAGGUUGUAGGUCCUUGAUACGUCGCCAACGUAUCUAUACUUUUUUAUUGUUCCAUGCUAUUAUAUUAUCUGUUUUGGAUGUUUAAUGAGCUUUAAUAUACUAUUUUAUAUUAUUUUUGGGACUAACCUAUUAAUCGAAGGCCCAGUGCAAAUUGCUGUUUUUUUUGCCUAUUUCAGUGUUUCGCAAAAAACGAAUAUCAAACGGAAUCCAAACGGAACGAAACCUUCACGAGGAUCUUUCUUGGAACAAACGCAAUCCAGGAGACUUGGAGUGGAAGUCAGAGACGCAACGAGGCGGCACGAGGCAGGAGGGCGCGCCCAGGGGGGGUAGGCGCGCCCCCAUCCUCGUGGGCCCCUCGUAGCUCCACUGACCUACUUCUUUUGCCUAUAUAUACUCUUAUACCCUGAAGACAUCCAGGGGAGACACGAAACCACUUUUCCACCGCCGCAACCUUCUGUACUGAUAACCCACAAGUAUAGGGGAUCGCAACAGUUUUCAAGGGUAGAGUAUUCAACCCAAAUUUAUUGAUUCGACACAAGGGGAGCCAAAGAAUAUUCUCAAGUAUUAGCAGCUGAGUUGUCAAUUCAACCACACCUGGAUAACUUAAUAUCUGCAGCAAAGUAUUUAGUAUCAAAGUAGUAUGGAAGUAACGGUAACAGUGGCAAAGGUAAUAUUUUUGGGUUUUGUAGUGAUUUUAACAGUAGCAACGAAAAAGUAAAUAAGCGAAGAACAAUAUGUGAAAAGCUUGUAGGCAUUGGAUCGGUGAUGGAGAAUUAUGUCGGAUGCGAUUAUUCAUGCAACAGUUAUAACAUAGGGUGACACAGAACUAGCUCAAAUUCAUCAAUGUAAUGUAGGCAUGUAUUCCGAAUAUAGUCAUACGUGCUUAUGGAAAAGAACUUGCAUGACAUCUUUGUCCUACCCUCCCGUGGCAGCGGGGUCCUAGCGGAAACUAAGGGAUAUUAAGGCCUCCUUUUAAUAGAGUACCGGACCAAAGCAUUAACACAUAGUGAAUACAUGAACUCCUCAAACUAUGGUCAUCACCGGGAGUGGUCCCGAUUAUUGCACUUCGGGGUUGCCGGAUCAUAACACAUAGUAGGUGACUAUAGGCUUGCAAGAUAGGAUCAAGAACUCACAUAUAUUCAUAAAAACAUAAUAGGUUCAAAUCUGAAAUCAUGGCACUCGGGCCCUAGUGACAAGCAUUAAGCAUAGCAAAGUCAUAGAAACAUCAAUCUCAGAACAUAGUGGAUACUAGGGAUCAAACCCUAACAAAACUAACUCGAUUACAUGAUAAAUCUCAUCCAACCCAUCACCGUCCAGCAAGCCUACGAUGGAAUUACUCACGCACGGCGGUGAGCAUCAUGAAGUUGGUGAUGGAGGAUGGUUGAUGAUGAUGAUGGCGACGGAUUCCCCUCUCCGGAGCCUCGAACGGACUCCAGAUCAGCCCUCCCGAGAGAGUUUACGGCUUGGCGGCGGCUCCGUAUCGUAAAACGCGAUGAAUCCUUCUCUCUGAUUUUUUUCUCCCCGAAUGUGAAUAUAUAGAGUUGGAGUUGAGGUCAGUGGAGCACCAGGGGGACCACGAGGCAGGGGGCGCGCCCAGGGGGUAGGCGCGCCUCCCACCCUCGUGGACAGGGUGUGGCUCCCCUGGCCUUGAUUCUUUCGCCAGUAUUUUUUAUUAUUUCCAAAAAUAGUCUCCGUGAAGUUUCAAGUCAUUCCAAGAACUUUUGUUUCUGCACAAAAAUAACACCAUGGCAAUUCUGCUGAAAACAGCGUCAGUCCGGGUUAGUUCCAUUCAAAUCAUGCAAGUUAGAGUCCAAAACAAGGGCAAAAGUGUUUGGAAAAGUAGAUACGACGGAGACGUAUCAUGUACCCGUGAGAUCCCAUCUUGGGGCCUUUUCCAGCGAUCUGCCGGAGGGGGAUUCAAUCACGGAGGGCUUCUACAUCAACACCAUAGCCUCCGAUGAUGUGUGAGUAGUUUACCAUAGACCUUCGGGUCCAUAGUUAUUAGCUAGAUGGCUUCUUUUCUCUCUUUGGUUCUCAAUACAAAGUUCUCCUCGAUGUUCUUGGAGAUCUAUUCGAUGUAAUACUUUUUGUGGUGUGUUUGCCGAGAUGUGAUGAAUUGUAGGUUUAUGAUCAAGAUUAUCUAUGAACAAUAUUUGAUUCUUCUCUGAAUUCUUAUAUGCAUGAUUUGAUAUCUUUGCAAGUCUCUUCGAAUUAUCGGUUUAGUUUGGCCUACUAGAUUGAUCUUUCUUGCAAUGGGAGAAGUGCUUAGCCUUGGGUUCAAUUUUGUGGUGCUCGAUCCCAGUGAUAGAAAGGAAACCGACACGUAUUGUAUUGUUGCCAUCAAGGAUAAAAAGAUGGGGUUUAUAUCAUAUUGCUUGAGUUUAUCCCUCUACAUCAUGUCAUCUUGCCUAAUGCGUUACUCUGUUCUUAUGAACUUAAUACUCUAGAUGCAUGUUGGAUAGCGGUCAAUGUGUGGAGUAAUAGUAGUAGAUGCAGAAUCGUUUCGGUCUACUUGACACGGACGUGAUGCCUAUGUUCAUGAUCAUGCCUAGAUAUUCUCAUAACUAUGUGCUUUUCUAUCAAUUGCUCGGCAGUAAUUUGUUCACCCACCGUAAUAUAUGCUAUCAUGAGAGAAGCCACUAGUGAAACCUAUGGCCCCCGAGUCUACUUUACAUCAUAUAAGUUUCCUAUCUAUAAUUCUAGUUUACUAUUUAUUUUGCAAUCUUUAUUUUCCAAUCUAUACAACAAAAUACCAAAAAUAUUUAUCUUAUUAUAUUUAUCAGAUCUCACUUUUGCAAGUGGCCGUGAAGGGAUUGACAGCCCCUUAUCGCGUUGGUUGCAAGGUUCUUGAUUGUUUGUGCAGGUAUUGUGUAGUCUCCUACUGGAUUGAUACCUUGGUUCUCAAAAACUGAGGGAAAUACUUACGCUACUUUGCUGCAUCACCCUUUCCUCUUCAAGGGAAAACCAACGCAUGCUCAAGAGGUAGCAAGAAGGAUUUCUGGCGCCGUUGCCGGGGAGAUCUUCGCACAAGUCAAGACAUACCAAGUACCCAUCACAAACUCUUCUCCCUCGCAUUAUAUUAUUUGCCAUUUGCCUCUCGUUUUCCUCUCCCCCACUUCACCCUUGCCGUUUUCUUUGCCCUCCUUCUGUUCGAUCUUGUGUUACCAUGUGCCUUCCUUUUUGUUUGCAUCUUCGCUUGCUAAGAGUUUAUGGAUCCUCAUCCCCUUGCUAAUCUUUUUAAGAGAUCUAAUUAUGAUGAACCAAUUUCUAGUGAUUUGAGUGCACUAGAUUAUCUUUAUGAGGUUUUUCUUGAAAUUCGUGAAUCUGAAAAUUGUGAUGAAGAAAUUUAUGAAGAGAUUCACGAUAGCUCCUUGAGCAAAAGCAUGAUUGCAAUGAUUUUACUAUAAAUUCUCUUGAUGUCAAUUGUGCUAAUAAUAUGCUAAACCCUAAGCUUGGGGAUGCUAGUUUUGCUAUGUCUACUACUUGUUGCAAUGAUCAUGAUUGGGGUGAUUCUUCUUAUGAUCUUGAAAAUUUAUUUAAGCCCCAUGAUGAAUAUGAGAUUGAUAAUAAUUUGUGCAAUAAUAUUGAAAGUGGGUUUGGAAGAGUGUCAACUAUAGAUCCCACAUAUUUGGAGAAUGUUCAAUCUUAUGAAAUUUUUGAUAAAAGUCGGUUUGGAGAGGUCAUGACUUUAGUUAAGGGACAAUUGCAUUUUUACCCCUAGUUGGUUCCUACCCACGGGUUUUGCCCUUACUUUUCGAGCUUGCUCAGUUUUGCCCUUACUUUUUCCGUUGAGGUCCCUCCAAUGCCCUUUGGCCGUUUGACCAAAACUUUGAAAAUUCAUAACUAAUUCGUAUGAACUCGGAAAAAUGCAAAUAAGAUAUCAAAAUGUGUAGAUAAACAUUACCUUUAUGUGCAUAUCAUUUGCAUUCAGGACAAAAGCAAGCUUUAAACUACCUGAGGUAAUUAAUAUUAUUAACAUUAUUAAAAAUAAAAAGGUAUAAACAAUAUUUUUUUCAUGAAUAAAAAUUACAUGCAAAUGUAGGUGAUGUUUUCUGAACAUCCUAAUAUCUUAUUUGCAUUUUUCUGAGUUUGUAUCAACUUGUUAUGAAGUUUCCAAAUAAUGGUCAAAGUCAUUAGAACAUUCUUAACAAGAUGAUACGAACUCAGAAAAAUGCAAAUAAGAUAUCUGGAUGUUCAGAAAACAUCACCUACAUUUGCAUGUAUUUUUUAUUCAUGAAAAAAAUAUUAUUUAUACCUUUUUAUUUUUGAUAAUGUUAAUAACAUUAAUUACCUCAGGUAGUUUAAAGGGUGCUUUUGUCCUGAAUGCAAAUAAUAUGCACAUAAAGGUAAUGUUUAUCUGAACAUUUUGAUAUCUUAUUUGCAUUUUUCCGAGUUCAUAUGAAUUAGUUAUGAAUUUUCAAAGUUUCGGUCAAACGGUCAAAGGGCAUUCGAGGGACCUCGACGGAAAAAGUAAGGGCAAAACUGAGCAAGCUCGAAAAGUAAGGGCAAAACCCAUGGGUAGGAACCAACUAGGGGUAAAAAUGCAAUUGUCCCUUUAGUUAAUGUUAAUCCCACUAUUUUGGAAGAGUGUCAACUUCGCAUGCAUGUGGAUCAUGUUGAGAAUAUGUUAUGUGAUAACUAUUUUGUUGAAUUUGCCUAUGAUCCUACAUGUAAUUAUUAUGAGAGAGGAAAAUAUGGUUGUAGAAAUUUUCAUGUUACUAAAUUACCUUUCUUCAUGUUGAGAUUGCUAUUGUUUCUUUCUUCUUCCUUGCAUAUGCUAGAUCUUGCUUGUCUUGCUAAUUUGUUUUCCUAUAAAAUGCCUAUGCAUAGGAAUUAUGUUAGAAUUAUAUGUGUUUUUCACAUUCUACAUGAUGCUCUCCUUGUGUUUCAAUUGCUAUCUUUCAUGUGAGCAUCAUUAAAAUUAUCAAUGCCUAGCUAGGGGCGUUAAACGAUAGCGCUUGUUGGGAGGCAACCCAAUUUUAUUUUUGUUAUUUGCUUUUUGCUCCUGUUUAGUAAUAAGCAAUUCAUCUAGCCUCUGUUUAUAUGUGGUUUUAUGUUUUAAUUAGUGUUUGUGCCAAGUAAUACCUUUAGGAUAGCCUACGGUGAUAGUUAAUUUGAUCUUGCUGAAAAACAGAAACUUUUGCGCGCACGAAAAUAAUUUUCAUAAAUCACAAGAACGUGCUUUUCAGUUGAUUCUUUUUGCAGAAGAUUAAUAAAAAAAUUUCUUAGGACUUCCUAAUUUCUCAGAAUUUUUGGAGUUACAGAAGUAUGCGUAUGAAUCAAAUUGCUACAGACUGUUCUGUUUUUGACAGAUUCUGUUUUUCGUGUGUUGUUUGCUUAUUUUGAUGAAUCUAUGAGUAGUAUCGGGGGGGUAUGAACCAUAGAGAAGUUGGAAUACAGUAUGUUUAACACCAAUAUAAAUAAAGAAUUAGUUCAUUACAUUACCUUAAAGUGGUGGUUUGUUUUCUUAUACUAACGGAGCUCAUGAGAUUUUCUGUUAAGUUUUGUGUUGUGAAGUUUUCAAGUUUUUGGGUAAAGAUUUGAUGGAUUUUGGAAUAAGGAGUGGCAAGAGCCUAAGCUUGGGGAUGCCUAAGGCAGCCCAAGGUAAAAUUCAAGGACAACCAAAAGCCUAAGCUUGGGGAUGCCUCGGAAGGCAUCCCCUCUUUCGUCUUCGUCUAUUGGGAACUUUACUUGAGGCUAUAUUUUUAUUCACCACAUGCUAUGUGUUUUGCUUGGAGCGUCUUUUAUGAUUUGAGUCUUUGAUUUUUACUUUACCAAUAUCAUCCUUGCUGUACACACAAUUUGGGAGAGACACAAAUGAAUCGGAAUUUAAUAGAAUAAUCUAUGUGCUUCACUUAUAUCUUUUGAGCUAGAUAAUUUUGCUCUAGUGCUUCACUUAUACCUUUUUAGAGCACGGUGGUGGUUUUAUUUUAUAGAAAUUAUUAAUCUCUCAUGCUUCACUUAUAUUAUUUUGAGAGUCUUUUAGAACAGCAUGGUAAUUUGCGUUGGCUAUAAAAUUAGUCCUAAUAUGAUAGACAUCCAAGAUGGGUAUAAUAAAAACUUUCAUAUAGAGUGCAUUGAAUACUAUGAGAAGUUUGAUACUUGAUAAUUGUUUUGAGAUAUGAAGAUGGUGAUAUUAGAGUUGUGCUAGUUGAGUAAUUGUGAAAUGGAGAAAUACUUGUGUUGAGGUUUGCAAGUCCCGUAGCAUGCACGUAUGGUAAACGUUGUGUGACAAAUUUGAAGCAUGAGGUGUUUCCUUGAUUGCCUUCCUUAUGCGUGGAGGUCGGGAUCGCGCGAUGGUUAAAUCCUACCAACCCUUCCCCUAGGAGCAUGCCUGUAGUGCUUGGUUUUGAUGACUUGUAGAUUUUUGCAAUAAGCAUGUGAGUUCUUUAUGACUAAUGUUGAGUCCCUGGAUUAUGCGCACUCUCACCCUUCCAUCAUUGCUAGCCUCUCUUGUGCCGUGCAACUUUUGCCGGUACUGUUGGAAAUAUGCCCUAGAGGCAAUAAUAAAAUGGUUAUUAUUGCAUUUCCUUGUUCAUGAUAAAUGUCUAUUGUUCAUGCUAUAAUUGUAUUAACUGGAAACCGUAAUACAUGUGUGAAUACAUAGACCACAACAUGUCCCUAGAAAGCCUCUAGUUGACUAGCUCGUUGAUCAAUAGAUGGUUAUGGUUUCCUGACCAUGGACAUUGGAUGUCAUUGAUAACGGGAUCACAUCAUUAGGAGAAUGAUGUGAUGGACAAGACCCAAUCCUAAGCAUAGCACAAGAUCGUGUAGUUCGUUUGCUAAGAGCUUUUCUAAUGUCAAGUAUCGUUUCCUCAGACCAUGAGAUUGUGCAACUCCCGGAUACCGUAGGAAAGCUUUGGGUGUACCAAACGUCACAACGUAACUGGGUGGCUAUAAAGGUGCACUAUAGGUAUCUCCGAAAGUGUCUGUUGGGUUGGCACGAAUCGAGAUUGGGAUUUGUCAGUCCGUAUGACGGAGAGGUAUCUCUGGGCCCACUCAGUAAUGCAUCAUCAUAAUGAGCUCAAUGUGACCAAGUGGUUGGUCACGGGAUCAUGCACUAUGGUACGAGUAAAGUGACUUGCCGGUAACGAGAUUGAACAAGGCAUUGGGAUACCGACGAUCGAAUCUCGGGCAAGUAACGUACCGAUUGACAAAGGGAAUUGUAUACGGGAUUGACUGAAUCCUCGACAUCGUGGUUCAUCCGAUGAGAUCAUCGUGGAACAUGUGGGAGCCACCAUGGGUAUCCAGAUCCCGCUGUUGGUUAUUGACCGGAGAGUCGUCUCGGUCAUGUCUGCAUGUCUCCCGAACCCAUAGGGUCUACACACUUAAGGUUCGGUGACGCUAGGGUUGUAGAGAUAUUAGUAUGCGGAAAUCCGAAAGUCGUUCGGAGUCCCGGAUGAGAUCCCGGACGUCACGAGGAGUUCCGGAAUGGUCCGGAGGUAAAGAUUUAUAUAUGGGAAGUCCUAUUUUGGCCACCGGAAAAUGUUCGGGAUUUUUCGGUAUUGUACCGGGAAGGUUGUAGAAGGUUCCGAAGUGGGGCCCACCUGCAUGGGGGGACCCACAUGAACGUGGGUAGUGGGGGCAAGGCCCCACACCCCUGGUCAAGGCGCACCAAGAUCCCACCUUAGAAGGAAUAAGAUCAUAUCCCGAAGGGAUAAGAUCAAGAUCCCUAAAAAGGGGGAUAACAAUCGGUGGGGAAGGGAAAUGAUGGGAUUUCUUUCCCCCACCUUUGCCAUCGCCCCAAUGGACUUCGAGGGCAAGAAACCAGCCCCCUCCACCCCUAUAUAUAGUGGGGAGGCGCAUGGGAGCAGCACCCCAAGCCCCUGGCGCCUCCCUCUCCCUCCCGUGACACCUCUCCCUCUCGCUGAGCUUGGCGAAGCCCUGCCGAGAUCCCCGCUGCUUCCACCACCACGCCGUCGUGCUGCUGGAUCUCCAUCAACCUCUCCAUCCCCUUGCUGGAUCAAGAAGGAGGAGACGUCUUCCCAAUCGUACGUGUGUUGAACGCGGAGGUGUCGUCCGUUCGGCGCUCGGUCAUCGGUGAUUUGGAUCACGACGAGUACGACUCCAUCAACCCCGUUCACUUGAACGCUUCCGCUCGCGAUCUACAAGGGUAUGUAGAUGCACUCCUCCCCUCUCAUUGCUAGCAUCUCCUAGAUUGAUCUUGGUGACACGUAGGAAAAUUUUGAAUUUCUGCUACGUUCCCCAGAAGUGGCAUCAUGAGCCAGGUCUAUGCGUAGAUUCUAUGCACAAGUAGAACACAAAUUAGUUGUGGGCGAUGAUUUGUUCAAUUUGCUUACCGUUACUAGUCUUAUCUUGAUUCGGCGGCAUUUUGGGAUGAAAUGGCCCGGACCGACCUUACACGUACUCUUACGUGAGACAGGUUCCACCGAUUGACAUGCACUUGAUGCAUAAGGUGGCUAGCGGGUGUCUGUCUGUCCCACUUUAGUCGGAUCGGAUUCGAUGAAGAGGGUCCUUAUGAAGGGUAAUAGCAAUUGGCAUAUCACCGUUGUGGCUUUUGCGUAGGUAAGAAACGUUCUUGCUAGAAACCCAUAGCAGCCACGUAAAACAUGCAACAACAAUUAGAGGACGUCUAACUUGUUUUUGCAGGGUAUGCUAUGUGAUGUGAUAUGGCCAAAAGGAUGUGAUGAAUUAUAUAUGUGAUGUAUGAGAUUGAUCAUGUUCUUGUAAUAGGAAUCACGACUUGCAUGUCGAUGAGUAUGACAACCGGCAGGAGCCAUAGGAGUUGUCUUAAUUUGUUGUAUGACCUGCGUGUCAAUGAAAAACGCCAUGUAAUUACUUUACUUUAUUGCUAACCAUUAGCCAUAGUAGUAGAAGUAAUAGUUGGCGAGACAACUUCAUGAAGACACGAUGAUGGAGAUCAUGAUGAUGGAGAUCAUGGUGUCAUGCUGGUGACGAAGGUGAUCAUGCCGCGCCUCGAAGAUGGAGAUCAAAAGGCGCAAGAUGAUAUUGGCCAUAUCAUGUCACUUUAUGAUUUGCAUGUGAUGUCUGUCAUGUUUACAUCUUAUUUGCUUAGAACGACGGUAGCAUAAAUAAGAUGAUCCCUCACUAAAAUUUCAAGAGAUGUGUUCCCCCUAACUAUGCAUCGUUGCGAAGGUUCGUUGUUUCGAAGCACCACGUGAUGAUCGGGUGUGAUAGAUUCUAACGUUCGCAUACAAUGGGUGUUGACGAGCCUAGCAUGUACAGACAUGGCCUCGGAACACAAGCAAAACACUUAGGUUGACUUGACGAGCCUAGCAUGUACAGACAUGGCCUCGGAACACAAGAGACCGAAAGGUCGAACAUGAGUCGUAUAGUAGAUACGAUCAACAUGGAGAUGUUCACCGAUGAUGACUAGUCCGUCUCACGUGAUGAUCGGACACGGCCUAGUCGAUUCGGAUCAUGUAUCACUUAGAUGACUAGAGGGAUGUCUAUCUAAGUGGGAGUUCAUUAAAUAAUCAGAUGAACUUAAUUAUCAUGAACAUAGUCAAAAGGUCUUAGCAAAUAAUGUCGUAGCUUACGCUUUAGUUCUACUAAGAUAUGUUCCUAGAGAAAAUUUAGUUGAAAGUUGAUAGUAGCAAUUAUGCGGACUGGGCCCGUAAACUGAGGAUUGUCCUCAUUGCUGCACAGAAGUCUUAUGUCCUUAAUGCACCGCUCGGUGUGCUGAACCUCGAGCGUCGUCUGUAGAUGUUGCGAAACAUCUGACAUACACGUUUUGAUGACUACGUGAUAGUUCAGUGUGUGAUGCUAACGGUUUAAAAUUGUGGCACCAAAGACGGUUUUGAAACGUCGCAGAACAUAUGAGAUGUUCCAAGGACUGAAAUUGGGAUUUCAGACUAGUGCCCACGUCAAGAGGUAUGAGACCUCUGACAAGUUUCUUAAGCCUGCAAACUAAGGGAGAAAAGCUCAAUCGUUGAGCAUGUGCUCAGAUUGUCUGAGUACUACAAUCACUUGAAUCGAGUGGGAGUUAAUCUUCCAGAUGAGAUAGUGAUGGUUCUCCAUAGUCACUGCCACCAAGCUAUUAGAGCUUCGUGAUGAACUAUAACAUAUCAGGGAUAGACAUGAUGAUCCUUGAGCAACUCGCGAUGUUUGACACCGCGAAAGUAGAAAUCAAGUAGGAGCAUCAAUUGUUGAUGGUUAGUAAAACCACUAGUUUCUAGAAGGGCAAGGGCAAGAAGGGAUACUUCAUGAAACGGCAAAUCAGUUGCUGCUCUAGUGAAGAAACCCAAGGUUGAACCCAAACCCGAGACUAAGUGCUUCUGAAAUGAGGGGAACGGUCACUGAAGCAGAACUACCCUAGAUACUUCAUAGAUGAGAAGGCUGGCAAGGUCGACAGAAGUAUAUUGGAUAUACAUUAUAUUAAUGUGUACUUUACUAGUACUCCUAGUAGCACCAGGGUAUUAGAUACCGGUUCGGUUGCUAAGUGUUAGUAACUCAAAAUAAAAGAUGUGGAAUAAACGGAGACAAGCUAAAGGUGAGAUGACGAUAUGUGUUGGAAAUGUUUCCAAGGUUGAUGUAAGCAUCGCAUGCUCCAUCUACCAUCGAGAUUGGGGUUAAACCUGAAUAAUUGUUAUUUGGUGUUUGCGUUGAGCAUAGACAUGAUUGGAUCAUGUUUAUAGCAAUACGGUUAUUCAUUAAAGGAGAAUAAUGGUUACUCUGUCUAUUUGAAUAAUACCUUCAGUGGUCUUGCACCUAAAAUGAAUGGUUUAUUGAAUCUCGAUCGUAGUGAUACACAUGUUCAUGCCAAAAGAUAUAAGAUAGUAAUGAUAGUACCACAUACUUGUGGCACUGCCACUUGAGUCAUAUUGGUAUAAAACGCAUGAAGAAGCUCCAUGUUGAUGGAUCUUUGGACUCACUCGUUUUUGAGAAGAUUGAGACAUGCGAACCAUGUCUAUUAGUAUAUAUGCAUGAAGAAAGUCCAUGCAGAUGGAUCAUUUGGACUCACUUGAUUUUGAAUCACUUGAGACAUGCAAAUCAUACCACAUGGGCAAGAUGACUGAAAGGCCUCGUUUUCAGUAAGAUGGAACAAGAGAGCAACUUGUUGGAAGUAAUACAUUUGAUGUGUGCAGUCCAAUGAGUGCUGAGGCACGCAGUGGAUAUCGUUAUGUUCUUACUUCACAGAUGAUUUGAGUAGAUGCUGAGAAUAUUUACUUGAUGAAACACAAGUCUGAAUUAUUGAAAGGUUCAAGUAAUUUCAGAGUGAAGUUGAAGAUCGUCGUGACAAGAGGAUAAAAUGUCUGUGAUAUGAUCAUAGAGAUGAAUAUCUGAGUUACGAGUUUGGCACACAACUAAGAAAUUGUGGAAAUUAUUUCACGACUAAUACCGCCUGGAACACCAUAUUGUGAUGGUGUGUCCGAACAUCAUAACUGCACCCUAUUGGAUAUGGUGCAUACCAUUAUGUCUCUUAUCGAAUUACAACUAUCGUUUAUGGGUUAGGCAUUAGAGACAACCGCAUUCACUUUAAAUAGGGCACCACGCAAUUCCGUUGAGACGGCACCGUAUGAACUAUGGUUUAGAGAAACCUAAGUUGUCGUUUCUUAAAAGUUUGGGGCUGCGACGCUUAUGUGAAAAAGUUUCAGGCUGAUAAGCUCGAACCCAAAGCGGAUAAAUGCAUCUUCAUAGAAUACCCAAAACAGUUGGGUAUACCUCCUAUUUCAGAUCUGAAAGCAAAAGUGAUUGUUUCUAUAAACGGGUCCUUUCUCGAGGAAAAGUUUCUCUCGAAAGAAUUGAGUGGAGGAUGGUGGAGACUUGAUGAGGUCAUUGAACCGUCACUUCAACUAAUGUGUAGCAGGGCACAGGAAGUUGUUCCUGUGGCACCUACACCAAUUGAAGUGGAAGCUUAUGAUAGUGAUCAUGAAACUUCAGAUCAAGUCACUACCAAACCUCAUAGGACGACUAGGAUGCGUACUACUUCAGAGUGGUACGUAAUCCUGUCUUGGAAGACAUGUUGCAAGACAACAAUGAACCUACAAGCUAUGGAGAAGCGAUGGUGGGCCCGGAUUUCGACGAAUGGCUCGAGGCCAUAAAAUCCGAUAGGAUCCAUGUAUGAAAACAAAGUAUAGACUUUGAAAGAACUACUUGAUGGUCGUAAGGCUGUUGGGUACAGAUGGAUUUUAAAGGGAAGACGGACAAUGAUGGUAAGUGUCACCAUUAAGAAAGCUCGACUUGUCGUUAAGAUGUUUUCCGGCAAGUUCAAGGAGUUGACUGCGAUGAGACUUUCUCACUCGUAGCGAUGCUAAGAGUCUAUUAGAAUUAUAUUAGCAGUUACUGCAUUAUUUAUGAAAUCUUGCAGAUAGGAUGUCAAAACAUUGUUUCCUCGACGAUUUUCUUGAGGAAAGGUUGUAUGUGAUACAACCAGAAGGUUUUGUCAAUCCUGAAAGAUGCUAACAAGUAUGCAAAGCUCCAGCAAUCCUUCUAAGGAUUGGAGUAAGCAUCUUGGAGUUGGAAUGAACGCUUUGAUGAGAUGAUCAAAGAUUUUGGGUUUAUACAAAGUUCAUGAGAAACUUGUAUUUCCAAAGAAGUGAGUGGGAGCACUAUAGAAUUUGUGAUGAGUAUAUGUUGUUAACAUAUUGUUGAUCAGAAAUGAUGUAGAAUUUCUGGAAAGCAUCCAGGGUUAUUUGAAAAGUAUUUUUUAAUGGAAAACCUGGAUUAAGCUACUUGAACAUUGAGCAUCAAGAUCUAUAAGGAUAGAUCAAAACGCUUAAUAGUACUUUCAAAUGAAUGCAUACCGUGACAGGAUUUUGAAGGAGUUCAAAAUAGAUCAGCAAAGAAGGAGUUCUUGGCUGUGUUACAAGGUGUGAGUAUUGAGUAAGACUCAAGACCUGACCACGGCAGAAGAGAGAGAAAGGACGAAGGUCGUCCCCUAUGCUUUAGACGUAGGCUCUACAGUAUGCUAUGCUGUGUACCGCACCUGAAGUGUGCCUUGCCAUGAGUUAGUCAAGGGGUACAAUAGUGAUCCGGGAAUGGAUCACAUGACAGCGGUCGAACUUAUCCUUAGUAUCUAGUGGACUAAGGAAUUUUCUUGAUUAUGGAGGUGGUAAAAGAGUUCGUCGUAAAGGGUUACGUCGAUGCAAACUUUGACACUAAUCCGGAUGACUCUGAGUAGUAAACCGGAUUCGUAUAGUAGAGCAGUUAUUUGGAAUAGCUCCAAGUAGCGCGUUGUAGCUACAUCUACAAGAUGACAUAGAGAUUUGUAAAGCACACACGGAUCUAAAUGUUGCAGACCCGUUGACUAAAACCUAUCUCGUAAGAAUAACAUGAUCAAACCCUAGAACUCAUUGAGUGUUAAUCACAUCGUGAUGUGGACUAGAUUAUUGACUCUGGUAAACUUUGAGUGUUAAUCACAUGGUGAUGUGAACUAGAUUAUUGACUCUAGUGCAAGUGGGAGACUGUUGGAAAUAUGCCCUAGAGGCAAUAAUAAAAUGGUUAUUAUUGCAUUUCCUUGUUCAUGAUAAAUGUCUAUUGUUCAUGCUAUAAUUGUAUUAACUGGAAACCGUAAUACAUGUGUGAAUACAUAGACCACAACAUGUCCCUAGUAAGCCUCUAGUUGACUAGCUCGUUGAUCAAUAGAUGGUUAUGGUUUCCUGACCAUGGACAUUGGAUGUCAUUGAUAACGGGAUCACAUCAUUAGGAGAAUGAUGUGAUGGACAAGACCCAAUCGUAAGCAUAGCACAAUAUCGUGUAGUUCGUUUGCUAAGAGCUUUUCUAAUGUCAAGUAUCGUUUCCUUAGACCAUGAGAUUGUGCAACUCCCGGAUACCGUAGGAAUGCUUUGGGUGUACCAAACAUCACAACGUAACUGGGUGGCUAUAAAGGUGCACUACAGGUAUCUCCGAAAGUGUGUUGGGUUGGCACGAAUCGAGAUUGGGAUUUGUCACUCCGUAUGACGGAGAGGUAUCUCUGGGCCCACUCGGUAAUGCAUCAUCAUAAUGAGCUCAAUGUGACCAAGUGGUUGGUCACGGGAUCAUGCAUUACGGUACGAGUAAAGUGACUUGCCGGUAACGAGAUUGAACAAGGCAUUGGGAUACCGACGAUCGAAUCUCGGGCAAGUAACGUACCGAUUGACAAAGGGAAUUGUAUACGGGAUUGAUUGAAUCCUCAACAUCGUGGUUCAUCCGAUGAGAUCAUCGUGGAACAUGUGGGAGCCAACAUGGGUAUCCAGAUCCCGCUGUUGGUUAUUGACCGGAGAGUCGUAUCGGUCAUGUCUGCAUGUCCCACGAACCCGUAGGGUCUACACACUUAAGGUUCGAUGACGCUAGGGUUGUAGAGAUAUUAGUAUGCGGAAAUCUGAAAGUCGUUCGGAGUCCCGGAUGAGAUCCCGGACGUCACGAGGAGUUCUGGAAUGGUCCGGAGGUAAAGAUUUAUAUAUGGGAAGUCCUAUUUUGGCCACCGGAAAAUGUUCGGGAUUUUUUGGUAUUGUACCGGGAAGGUUCUAGAAGGUUCCGAAGUGGGGCCCACCUGCAUGGGGGGACCCACAUGAACGUGGGUAGUGGGGGCAAGGCCCCACACCCCUGGUCAAGGCGCACCAAGAUCCCACCUUAGAAGGAAUAAGAUCAUAUCCCGAAGGGAUAAGAUCAAGAUCCCUAAAAAAGGGGGAUAACAAUCGGUGGGGAAGGGAAAUGAUGGGAUUUCUUUCCCCCACCUUUGCCAACGCCCCAAUGGACUUCGAGGGCAAGAAACCAGCCCCCUCCACCCCUAUAUAUAGUGGGGAGGCGCAUGGGAGCAGCACCCAAAGCCCCUGGCGCCUCCCUCUCCCUCCCGUGACACCUCUCCCUCUCGCUGAGCUUGGCGAAGCCCUGCCGAGAUCCCCGCUGCUUCCACCACCACGCCGUCGUGCUGCUGGAUCUCCAUCAACCUCUCCCUCCCCUUGCUGGAUCAAGAAGGAGGAGACGUCUUCCCAACCGUACGUGUGUUGAAUGCGGAGGUGCCGUCCGUUCGGCGGUCGGUCAUCGGUGAUUUGGAUCACGACGAGUACGACUCCAUCAACCCCGUUCACUUGAACGCUUCCGCUCGCGAUCUACAAGGGUAUGUAGAUGCACUCCUCCCCUCUUGUUGCUAGUAUCUCCUAGAUUGAUCUUGGUGACACGUAGGAAAAUUUUGAAUUUCUGCUACGUUCCCCAGCAGGUACCAUAAACCCAACAUUUACCUUCCUCAAAACAGCCACCAUACCUACCUAUUAUGGCAUUUCCAUAGCCAUUCCGAGAUAUAUUGCCAUGAAACUUUCUACCGUUCCGUUUAUUAUGACACGCUUCAUCAUAGUCAUAUUGCUUUGCAUGAUCAUGUAGUUGACAUCGUAUUUGUGGCAAGGCCACCUUCAUAAUUCUUUCAUACAUGUCACUCCUGAUUCAUUGCACAUCCCGGUACACCGCCGGAGGCAUUCACAGAGUCAUAUUUUGUUCUAAGUAUUGAGUUGUAAGUAAAUAAAAGUGUGAUGAUUUUCAUUAUUAGAGCAUUGUCCCAUGUGAGUGAAGGAUGAUGGAGACUAUGAUUCCCCCACAAGUCGGGAUGAGACUCCGGACGAAAAAAAUAAAAUAAAAGAGGCCAAAGAAGCCCAAAAAAAAGAGGCCAUAAAAAAGGAGAAGGCCCAAAUAAAAAAAUGAGAGAAAAAGAGAGAAGGGGCAAUGUUACUAUCCUUUUGCCACACUUGUGCUUCAAAGUAGCAUCAUGAUCUUCAUGAUAGAGAGUCUCUUAUGUUGUCACUUUCAUAUCUAGUGGGAAUUUUCAUUAUAGAACUUGGCUUGUAUAUCCAAUGAUGGGCUUCCUCAAAUUGCCCUAGGUCUUUGUGAGCAAGCAAGUUGGAUGCACACCCACUUAGUUUCUUUUGUUGAGCUUUCAUAUACUUAUAGCUCUAGUGCAUCCCUUGCAUGGCAAUCCCUACUCACUCACAUUGAUAUCUAUUGAUGGGCAUCUCCAUAACCCAUUGAUACGCCUAGUUGAUGUGAGACUAUCUUCUCCUUUUUGUCUUCUCCACAACCACCACUCUAUUCCACCUAUAGUUCUAUGUCCAUGGCUCGCGCUCAUAUAUUGCGUGGAAGUUGAAAAAGUUUGAAAAUACUAAAGUAUGAAACAAUUGCUUGGCUGAAACCAGGGUUGUGCAUGAUUGGAGCAUUUUAUGUGACGAAGGUGGAGCAUAGCCAAACUAUAUGAUUUUGUAGGGAUGAGCUUUCUUUGGCUAUGUUAUUUUGAGAAGACAUUGCUUGGUUAGUAUGCUUGAAGUAUUAUUAUUUCCAUAUCAAUAUUAAACUUUUGUCUAGAAUCUUUUGGAUCUAAACAUUCAUGCCACAAUAAAGAGAAUUACAUUGAAAAUUAUACUAGGUAGCAUUCCACAUUAAAAAUUCUGUUUUUAUCAUUUACCUACUCGAGGACGAGCAGAAUUAAGCUUGGGGAUGCUUGAUACGUCUUCAACGUAUCUAUAAUGUGUGAUUGUUCCAUGCUAUUAUAUUAUCUGUUUUGGAUGUUUAAUGGGCUUUAAUAUACUCUUUUAUAUUAUUUUUGGGACUAACCUAUUAACCGAAGGCCUAGUGCAAAUUGCUUUUUUUGCCUAUUUCAGUGUUUCGCAGAAAAGGAACAUCAAACGGAACGAAACCUUCGCGAGGAUCUUUCUUGGAACAAACGCAAUCCAGGAGACUUGGAGUGGAAGUCAGAGACGCAACGAGGCGGCCACGAGGCAAGAGGGCGCGCCCAGGGGGUAGGCGCGCCCCCCACCCUCAUGGGCCCCUCGUAGCUCCACCAACCUAAUUCUUUCGCCUAUAUACUCUUAUACCCUGAAAACAUCCAGGAGAGCCACGAAACCACUUUUCCACCACCGCAACCUUCUGUACCCAUGAGAUCCCAUCUUGGGGCCUUUUCCGGCGAUCUACCGGAGGGGGAUUCGAUCACGGAGGGCUUCUACAUCAACACCAUAGCCUCUCCGAUGAUGUGUGAGUAGUUUACCACAGACCUUCGGGUCCAUAGUUAUUAGCUAGAUGGCUUCUUUUCUCGCUAUGGUUCUCAAUACAAAGUUCUCCUUGAUGUUCUUGGAGAUCUAUUCGAUGUAAUACUUUUUGCGGUGUGUUUGCCGAGAUCCGAUGAAUUGUGGGUUUAUGAUCAAGAUUAUCUAUGAACAAUAUUUGAUUCUUCUCUGAAUUCUUAUAUGCAUGAUUUGAUAUCUUUGCAAGUCUCUUCGAAUUACCGGUUUAGUUUGGCCUACUAGAUUGAUCUUUCUUGCAAUGGGAGAAGUGCUUAGCUUUGGGUUCAAUCUUGCGGUGCUCGAUCCCACUGACAGAAAGGGAACCGACACGUAUUGUAUUGUUGCCAUCGAGGAUAAAAAGUUGGGGUUUAUAUCAUAUUGCUUGAGUUUAUCCCUCUACAUCAUGUCAUCUUGCCUAAUGCGUUACUCUAUUCUUAUGAACUUAAUACUCUAGAUGCAUGCUGGAUAGCGGUCGAUGUGUGGAGUAAUAGUAGUAGAUGCAGAAUCGUUUCGGUCUAGUUGACACGGACGUGAUGCCUAUGUUCAUGAUCAUGCCUAGAUAUUCUCAUAACUAUGCGCUUUUCCAUCAAUUGCUCAGCAGUAAUUUGUUCACCCACCAUAAUAUAUGCUAUCAUGAGAGAAGCCACUAGUGAAACCUAUGGCCCCCGGGUCUACUUUACAUCAUAUAAGUUUCCGAUCUAUAAUUCUAGUUUACUAUUUAUUUUGCAAUCUUUAUUUUCCAAUCUAUACAACAAAAAUACCAAAAAUAUUUAUCUUAUUAGCUUUAUCAGAUCUCACUUUUGCAAGUGGCCGUGAAGGGAUUGACAAGCCCUUUAUCGCGUUGGUUUCAAGGUUCUUGAUUGUUUGUGUAGGUAGUAGGCAAUUUGCGUGUAGUGUCCUACUAGAUUGAUACCUUGGUUCUCAAAAAUUGAGGGAAAUACUUACGCUACUUUGCUGCAUCACCCUUUCCUCUUGAAGGGAAAACCAACGCAUGCUCAAGGGGUAGCAGUCCUCCCUCCUGAGCUUUUUAAAAUGCAGGGGGACCCCAAGAUAUUUGAAAUGAAAUUCACCAAAUUGACAGCAAAAAAAUCUGGGCAAAUUCCUUAGACAUUGCAUCAGAAACAUGAAUAGUAUGCAAAUCACUUUUGUGAAAAUUGAUCUUUAAGCCAGAAAGCUUUUCAAAGAAGGUCAAAAUCCACUUCAAGUUUUUGGCAUAUUCCAAGGAAUCUUGGAUAAAGAGAAUGGUAUCAUCUGCAUAUUGUAAGCUAACCACCCCUCCAGGAAUGGCAUGGGGGAGGAGCCCACCAAUUAAACCAUGCUUGACAGCUUUAACUAGCAUCUUAGAAAAGACAUCAGCUGCCAAAUUAAAUAGCAAGGGGGUGUGAGGGUCACCUUGUUUCAGUCCUUUCUUACCAACAAAAUGGGGUCCAUUGGUAUCAUUAAUCCUAACUUGGAAAGUCCCAUGUUUCAGGGUACUCAGAACCCAAGUCACCCAUUUUUUCCCAAAGCCUCCAGAAAGAUGCAUUUCCCCAAGAAAUCCCAACUGACUAUAUCAUAAGCUUUCUCAUAAUCAAGUUUAAGAAUUAACCCACUAGAAUUCGAUCUGUGUAGCUGAUGAAUAACUUCAUGUGCCAUAACUACACUCUCCAAGAUAAAUAUACCCUUAAUAAAUGCAGUUUGAUUAUGAGAAAUGAUUUUGUCACAAAUGGGGGAGACCCUAGUAUUCAUAGCCUUGGAGAAAAUUUUCACAACACAAUUACUAAGGCUGAUAGGCCUAAACUUUUUCAUCUCUCUGGCCUGGGGGAUUUGGGGGAUAAGGGUGAUGAUGGAAUAGUUAUGCUUAUAGAUAUCCAAAUCCCCCUUUUCAAAAUCCCUAACCAUCCACAUAAAAUCAUCUUUAAUCAAGGCCCAGAAGUUUUGGUAGAAAAGGAAAGACAUCCCAUCUGGACCAAGAGCUCCACUAGCAUAGGAGCUCAUGAUUGCUUCCUUUAAGUUAAUCUGCUCUUCUCCAUUGAUCAUCUCUGCCUCAGACCAGAAACCAACACCUAGAUGUAUGUCUGGUUUAGGUUCAUAGGCAAAUAAGUCUUUCUAAAAAGUGGUAGCUACCUCCAGCAUAUCAUCAGUGGAUGUCACAGGCCUAGAAGGGCCCAUCAAUUCAGAAAGAUGGUUCUUCCUAUGUCUGUGAUCGGCUAGGGCUUGGAAAUAAGCAUUGUUACAAUCUCCUUCAAGGAUUUUCCUAUCUCUGGACUUUUGCCAAAAGGCAGUUUCCUCUUUUUUCCAGAUCUCAUCAAGUUCUUUUUUAAAAGCUUUCAUCCUAUCAUACUCAGGCGCAGCCAACUACUGAGACUCAGACAGAACAUCUAGUAAGUCAAACUCCAUAAGGAGUGCCUUUUACUUUUUCUUAAGAUCAGCUUCAAUAUUAAUAGACCACCCUUUUGUCUUCCUCCUAAGUAUUCUAGUCUCGGAUAACCAGUUAUCCAUAGAAGAAGUAGAGGAAGAAACAGAAGACCAAGCCUCAGGAACCAUUUGGUGGAAACCAGGUUGUGACAGCCACCAUUUCUCAAAUCUAAACAUUUUAGGUUUAGAGGUCUUUCUAGCUCCAGUGUCCAAAACCAAAGGAGUGUGGUCGCUCCCAACUCUAGGGAGGGUAGUAAGAGAGGACAUUGGGAAGUGAGUAUCCCAGUCCAUAGAAGUAAAAACUCUAUCCAGCACAGCAAAAAUUGGAUCAUCUUGGUUAUUAGACCAAGUAUAACCCCUAUUAGAGAUAGAAAUCUCUAGCAAACCCCAUCUAUCAAUCCAGUCAUUGAAGAUAAAGGUGGUGUGUUGAUCGACUAUCCCACUGCUCUUCUCACUCUCAUUUCUAACUAAGUUUAAAUCACCACAAAUAAGGAUAGGAUAAGAUGCAUCAUCUAGAAUAUCAUGUUACUCAGCAAUAAAAUCCAUUUUGUACUCAGGGUAUGCAGACCCAUACACUAUCACUAAAUGCCAAACAAAACCAUCUUCUUUACUCUUAACCGUAGCUUUAAUGGAAAAAUUAUGAUUAAUAAAACCAAUUACUUCAAAUAAACUCUUGCUAAGACCCAAAAGGAUCCCUCCAGCAGUGUUAACAACAGGCAAAUAAUGCCAAUCAAAAUUAUUAGCCCUAUCAAUAGCUUUGAGCAAACCCUCAGAAAUAAUCUCUCUCUUAGUCUCUUGAAACCCAAUAAAAUCAGGAUUAGACUGAGCAAUAGUAUCACACAGGCACUAAAUUUUCCCAGGUUGACCAAGACCCCGAAUAUUCCAAAUAAGACCUAUCAUCAAGCAAUUUUAAAUGGGUGUGAUAGACCACAUGGCCUAGCCUUGGUUAGGACAUUGGGGGUUCUCCUCAAGGCAUCAGCAGUGCCCACUGGCUUGAAGGAGCAACCAUCCAAUGUGGUCCCAAUCAAAUCAUCUUGAUCAAAUUCUAGGUUAUCAGGAAGAACAAUUUCAGGAUUAUUAUUGGCAAAAGCCAAGCAUCUUUCUUUUUCUCCAACAAUCAAGUCAUCAAUGACAUAAUGCUUAUCAGUUUCAUCACCACCAAUGCAUAGAUCAAUUUUACUCAUUUGGUCAUAUAAAGUGGUAUGAUCAGUAUUAGAGAAGGAUUUACCUUUAAAAGUUUUAGGAAUCUCUAGGUUUUGCUUCCACUUCUAAGCAACAGAUUUUUCCAUGAUGUUCACAUUGCCAUGUCCCCUAGUAGCAGGUUUCUGCACUAGAACAGGUCCCCAUUUGGUCUUGCCAGGGACAUGUCCCUGCUCUUGAGCUUGAUCAAAAGUCUCCAAAAGUGAUCUCUUCAAAGAGAUGGUUUGAAGGACCUGGACAGCUUUAGGGGGAAGAAUCCCAAGCUCUUCUCCAUAGUUUCCUCCUCAUCAGACUUACAAGUGUCUACAGAUUUAAGGAUGUCCUCACAAUACUCCAUACUUUUAGAUUUUUCAUCAGUUUUUGUUUUUUCCUCAGCACUCUCCACAAGGGCUUUUGUGGGAGUGAAGUUUAUGUGUUUCAUAUGAUAUGCACCUUUUGAGGUGUCCCCCUCAGCAGAUACAUGUGUUUUCAUUUUGUCAGAAAUAUCACAUUCCAUGACAAAGAUUUCAUAAUCAGAGUUGGAGGAGAACACGGUAGACUGGCCCCCCUCUUUUUUCUUAUUCUUAUAUUGUUUUGAGAAAUUUGACUUAUCUAGUUCAUCAAUAGCUUCCUCACCAUCUAGCAGAUCCUUAGAUAGGCCAUCUUUUUUAGCAUUCUCAUAACCAUCUUCUCGUCCAUCAGUAUCACCUUCUCCCUCUUCAUCUACAUCAUCCUCAAUAUCAAUGACAGAAUCAGCACCACCUACUUGUUCAAAGCCUUCCACAGUGAAGCCCAAUAAGAACAACUUCUUUUCAUCUCAAUUAGUCUCUCAAAAGGAAUCUUAGCAGGAUCCCUACAUGCAAUUUUAAUUCUAACAUUCUCAAAGAAAGUCCUAAACAUACCAUUCCAAUCCACAUAUGUAAGCACACCAAAAAGAGAAGCAAUCUGGGCAAAAACAUUCCAGGUGCACCACUUAGGUGGAAUUCCUUCAAUCAGUACCCAAGCUUCAAUCAAUUCCCAAAAAGGGGCACAAACACCUUUCCAUUCAGUCAGAGUAACAGACACGUCUUGGGGUAAACAAAAGGCAGACAGUUCUAUGAGAUCUUCCACUUUCUUCCAUGGAGGAAACCUCACUAGGAAAGUCUUACUUGAUAAGCCUCUAAUUUGCCAAGGCCACUGUCUAGUUUUGCAAAAGGUAGCAGUCACAAGACUCAGCAACGUAUCCUUGUCCACUUCACCCUUAAGUAUGUUCACUACCGCGCAGUUUUGGAAAUUCAGCCAGUUGGAUUCAUUGGCCAUAGGCACAUCCACAUGGUAGAAACCAAGUCCACUUGCUCCACUACCAAAAAACGCAGCAGUUGGUUGAACCCUAGUCUAGGCGGCACAGUUGUUCACAUUGUGAUUCUGUUGGCAGAUAAAGCACGAUUUCGGUUUGAUACAAUUUCCCACAUAAUGCCCUUGACCUCCACAGUUAAAACAAAUCAUGUCCUUGUACCUAGGAUCUGGCACUUGGUCCAUCUCCACCUCCACGGACUGAGAAGAUUGUACCUGGGAUGAAGCAGCAGUAGAGGUUGUCGAUUUGGUAGGCUUUGGUGCAGGCGCCAGGUCUUUAGAGGUCGGGGCAGAUUGCUGCCUACGUCCUCCAUGUGAACUGGCCUUCUGCGUGGCUGCCUUCGAAGGACCGCGCCAGAUCCAGCACCAGCAAUUUGACGGUCCGACAUCGCCAGGCCUCGCUUCACAACUACUGCGAAGGAGAGGGAUCCGGGGCCCAAACCCUCCCUUGAAACCUUGAUGAUUCUCGAAAUUGGAUCAAAGGCGCGGCAAGAGGCAGGGUGGCAAUCAGCGGCCGUGAACGAUCGAGACGCGAGCAAAUCCUUCCGGAUCCAGCAAGUGAACNNNNNNNNNNNNNNNNNNNNNNNNNNNNNNNNNNNNNNNNNNNNNNNNNNNNNNNNNNNNNNNNNNNNNNNNNNNNNNNNNNNNNNNNNNNNNNNNNNNNNNNNNNNNNNNNNNNNNNNNNNNNNNNNNNNNNNNNNNNNNNNNNNNNNNNNNNNNNNNNNNNNNNNNNNNNNNNNNNNNNNNNNNNNNNNNNNNNNNNNNNNNNNNNNNNNNNNNNNNNNNNNNGUGGUGGUGGAGGUUGGCGGCGGCGGGGAGGGGAUGGAAUGAGCCAGAGCUGGCCAAAGUGCUCUUCUAUAGUUUCUAGGUCACCCUUUCCACGCGAACGCGUAAACUGAGAGUUUGUUUUCCUACCAAGGUCACGUACACUGAAACUGGGACCCGUCAGAACUGGGUUGGACAGAGAGGACGAAUUUUGGCUUAUCAUCGUCUCGUCAUCAGGCUAACGCCAAAAUUUGAACUAACAUCAAGCUUUGAGGCCGCAAAUACGGCUUCAGAAUCAAUGGAAUUUCUCAUCACGCAUGGGAAAACCCUAGAGGUCAUUUUUCCAGAUUCGGUCCAAAUGGUUAUCUGGAGCACCAAUCCAAAUAUUUGCCUGAAUCCUACGUGAACGCGGAUCCACCAAUCGGGAACGCAACGAAGAGGUUAGGCGAAUCGAAUGCGUACCUCCCUCACCCGGCCAGGGAGGGGGGUCGACAUCACGUCGUUGAUGCGGGACGGGGCAGGGGCGUCAGGUCCUUCACUAGCGGCGGCGGGGCAGCUGCACCCCCGGCAGGAGGAAUUCCGGCGGAAUGCUGGCAAUCCCCACCGCCGACGGUGGCCUGAUGUUGAGACGCGGCGGGUUCGCCGUCCUGAAGUACGCCCACUUCGCCCCCUGGACUGGAUUUGGGGAUUCGGCCUCCUGAAUUGCCCAGAAGAUGAGUUCCGCGUCCAUGCAACCGUCAUCGCCGAUGAAGCGCGCGCGCUCGGCGAAGUUCGUGUAGCGGAUGAUGUCGAGGUGAAUAUCUCCCCAUUCCUCCCGGUUGGGGAAACACUCCAGCACCACCCGGCGCAUCUCCCAUUGAGCCUCCGGCGAGUCUGCGUCGAUCUGGAGCGGCGGAGCCGCCCCUGGAGGUGGGAGCCCCCGCGGCUCCGCCACUCGGGUUUAUUUUGUGUUAAAUUUUGCAAAAAGAGCCAUUUUUAUCGACUUUCUCUAACUUAGGCCAACUCCACCGCGCGACCCCAUCCUGUCCGCGCGCGUCCGUUUGGGGUAAAACGGACGAACCAGACGGCCUAGCGCGGGGGCGCAAAUGGAAUUUUGUCCGUUUUCUGUCCGCUUUCGACCCAUCCCCGGCCCAAGUUUGCGCCGCCUUUUAGGUGAAACGGACAGCACGCGGACGGGCGGGGCGUCUGCGCGUGUCUUCCCCUGGCCCGCCUGUCGGUGGCACAGGGACGCCUUUUUCUAUCCACCCCCUCCCUCCCUCCUGCCGCACCCCUUCCACUCUUCCCCACUCUUCCCCUCGCCACCGCUGCCGCCGCCGCUGCCAUUGCAGCUGUGCAGCUCGGACGCGCGCUCGCCCAGCCCCUUCCCCUCGGCGCCCUCGAGCUACCCAACCACGGCCACCUGAUUUGCUCACCCGCCGGCCGGAUUUGGGGUGGAUCCGGUCGGUCUUGAGCUCGCCUGGCUGUGGGAGGCCGCGCUGCGCCAUGGACUGGCUGGGCACCGGGCCAGAAGGCCCUGGCAGGGCCACAAGGCCACAUGCAGGCAGUGGCUCCUCCUCUAGCCGCUCGGAUCUACACCAUUGGUGGUCCGCCGGUAGAUACACAAAUGGCGGUCUGCCGGGCUCGGUGCUAGCCCAAAAUCUCAUCGGCGCACCGUUGCCACUCAUUAAGUGCGACCACUGCCCAAAGAAGGUCAUGCGCCGCGUGUCUAUAACGCCGGAACAUCCGGGAUGGGUGUUCAUCAAGUGCUUAAACGAUGGGGUAUGUGCUCUUUUUAGCUUCGGUUGUGCUCUUAGAUUUGACUAGUUGUGCUAACUUAAAAUUUUAUUGUGUAGCAUGGAUGCAAGUUUUGGUAUUGGGAAGAAGAGUACAUCGAUAUAUUGAUAGAGCGCAAUUUAGUAGAUGUUGGUGCACUUUUAGCUAGCAUAGAGGCUAGACAUGAGACUAGUGCAUUUGUUGCUAGAUUAGAGGCUAGACAUGAGACUAGACGCGAGGAAGCAACCUCUACUUCUUUAGACUCGAAGAAGAAAGAAGCACGCAAGAUCGAGCCUCCUCCGCAGAUCAAAAAUGAAUGCAUCGAGAAGGCACUAAUCCAACUUACAGGAGUAGUUAUGGAAGUUGGAUAUCUUCUAAAAUGUAUUCUUGUGGUUCUUGUUUUCUUUCGUCUUACUUUUCUAGUCAAAAUUUGGUGAUGUAUUCCCAUGUACCAAAAAUUAAUGAUGAAAAAAAUUAAGGGCAUGCAAAGAAAAAUGUACGCGGACAGGAUGCGGCCGGGAUGCGUCUGCGCGUUGGGCACACGGCCACCGCAUCCUAAAAACGGUCCGGACACGACCCCAUUGCCCUACCCAAACUGACAGAAUCCGGACAAAACGGACGUCCGUUCGGGGUCACGCGGUGGAGCUGGCCUUGGUCUGGCAGGGUGAAUCCUGGGCCGCCGAGUUCGAAAUACUACUUUGUUUCUUUCCCGAGGCAGAUCCGAUCCACUGAUCCCGAGUAGUACGAACACAAUAUCUGCUGUCGUGGCCUAAAUCAGUGUGCACGUGAUCGUGUUUGGUGGACAUGAGUGGUGGUGUCCAUGUCAAACAAUCCACGCCGCCUAUAAGAAAAUCCGGGAAAACGAGUCCAAGUUUCCAUCCCAGCUGCUACUAAUCAAACAUCUUUAUCCACCCAACUAACCAAAUAAUGGGCAUAGCGAUCGCAGCAUCGCAGCCGAGGCCGCUUGCCAAUCGACGCCUAUAUAUAGACCUGCUCGCAGCUUUAGCCAGCCACACCACUACAACAGCAGAAAGCAUUCUACCACCAGACCGACCGCACAGUUGAAGUGAGAUCUGCGCUAAGGGUUCAUCAGCAACCAUGAAGAGCACCAAGCUCGCGGCGAUCCUGAUCCUCCAGGCCGUCCUGGUCAUGGGGAUCCUCUCACACGUGAACGGUAAGCUGCUGAUGCUCAAUCAUUUCACCUCUUCCUAGACAAAGCUCGAUCAUUCCGUGAUGCCCAGAGGGAGGGGAGGCUUCUCGUCUCGUCUUAUAAGUGAUAUAUUAUCUGAUUCUGAUGCCGUCGGUGCCUUUGCGUGCGUGCAGCCGACUAUUUCCCCAAGUGCUGCAACAACUGCAGGUCCUUCUCGGGGGUCGACGUCUGCGACGACGCCCACCCCCAGUGCCCCAAGGGCUGCUCGGCCUGCCGCGUGGUGACGCCGAGCCCUCACAAGACGUUCCGGUGCGCCGACAUGAAGAGCACCGUCGAUGGCACCUGCGGCGGGCCAUGCAAGAAGCACUGAUCCGUUCAGGGCUUCAGGCUCAGACGAGGUGUGCCGCCUAAAAUAAAGCUCAGAUGAGAUGAGCAGUCAUGGUGCCUAUGCUUGUGUGUGGGUCGUGCUAUACGGCCAACAAUAUGUAUACUGCUAUCGUCGUGUCUUGGUCAAUGUGUUUUCUCUCUCGAGAAAGGCUGGUGGUGCUUGUACUUGUUCACCUAUUCUCCGUCAAUAAACACAUGUGAUGAUUGUACUUGUUCACCUAUCCGCCGUGAAUAAACACAUGUGAUGAUUGUGCUUGUACUCUUGUCUGUUAUGUUUUCACGUCUCAUACGAGCUGAUGGAAUGCUCUUUGAAAUUUACCUUUCUACUUUCGGCACAACAAACAACUGUCCGACGUACUACUCUUUUACCAUCUUUCGGCGGCAAGUCCCAACUUUCAUGGCUGCCUUUUUUUUAACGUGGUGGCUGCCAAGUUGUUUGCAGAGUUUGCUAAAUUGACUACAUGAAAUGUGUCUGCAGUCACGCGUUUGUUAAAUUUGCCUGCCUGUAUAAAAAAGUAUGGCUAAAAAUUGAACUUGCUGUUUGCGAACCACCUGAAGUUGUUAGAACUUUAUUAUUCUCAAAACCUCAAUUAUCUUCUUCCUUUCGCCUUGAUCAUGAACAGUGAAAGGUUUCGUAUUAAUUAGAUCUUAUCUCAAUUCAUUCGAAAGCAUAACCAGGCUUUGGACUAAAGUUGGUUCAGCACUUCAGCAUCACAUAGUACUUGCAAAAAUGUAACAAAAAAACAUACGAACCGGCUGAUUUUUUUUUUUUACAUUUUCUCUAUGUAGUCUGAAAUUUUCAAAAAUCAACCUUUUAGGUUUCAAAAGUUCUGAAAAAUAAGACAGACAUCACUGUGAUGUAUACUUCAUGUUUUUAAAGUUUUCAUACUAUAAGUCUAUAAUUUUGUUAUUUUAUGUGUAGCUCACAUCAAAACUUCGUCAUGAACACUUGACAAACAUGUACUAGUAUGCAUCCCUAUAUGCGAUGAAAACAUGCAACAAGAAAUUAACCCUAAUAACUCAUAUAUGAGUAUUUAACAAAAAUGUGGAGCUAACAGACCCCUCAAACUUAACUCCUCAAAAUCAAAUUGUGGACAAACAACUCAUACAAAACUCAAGCUGAGACUAGAUUAAGACCACAUAAUGAUUAAUUAUACAUAGUACUUCAUAACUAAACAUCAUAACUAAAGUAGAUACCACUUGCUUAGAUUUAAAUCCAGCUACUUUAGAGCCAAAAUGUACUAAUCCUUGUCGGAAUCGAGGUAGAUCACGCAUGGCUUGCCGAAGCGCGAUGCAUCGGCGUCAGGGCUCUCGCCAUGCCACCAGCGCAUCGCCAGGGUCAUAUGAGUCAUCGGCAGCGAGCUCGCUGAGAGUGUGUCCCGCUGUCGAUCCUGGCCAAGACACAAUGAUUCAUGGCCACCUUGCGCUCGUUGGCGAUGAGGAAGUGCUUGAAACAGAGAUCGACCUCCGUCACCUUCGGGUCAGCGUCGAACCUGGUGGUAGCAUUGGCAUGCUCCGCCACGAGCUGAGCAUUAGUCGCCCGACGGUCCUCCUCUUGGAGCAAUGCCUUAUCAUACUCCUGCUCCUCCUCCGGUCGUUGGCACCACCUUGUCCUUGGCUUCCUCGGCCAUCGGCCCAUCCUCGUCCUCUGCCUCAGCCCCUCCUCUUCUUCCUCUACCUCCACCUUCUCCUUCAUGACCGCCGUGAGCUGGACCGCCUUAGGCGCAUUGUCGGAGUCGUCGUCACCAAGAUCGACGAAUCAACGGGGAUGACGUUGAUUUCGGCCACAUGAAUGUGUUGAGCGGCUUGAGACCCAAGAGGAAGGGUAUCUAGAAAGUAAGCAAGUAUUUCACUUAGUUGAGAACCAAGGUUUAUUGACCCAUUGGAGCUCUUGAACAAAAGCUGAUGAUCGACACCUGCACGGAACAACAAAUUUCUUCUUGGUCCCCAACUAUACCAGUUAGAUUCUCAGCCUCACUAGCCUUGCUAGUAACAAGGAUUAACUAGUGUGGUAGAAAAUGAUGAUUGUAUGCAAAUAAACAAAUCAAUUCAGAUUGUAAGGAACAAUAAUAGAGGUUUGUUGCGGUUGUAUUUAUAGCAAUGUCAACAAAUCCAACAUUACAUAUUUAACAUUCCAAUGAGUCCUUCUACCCACUUAAAAAAUACUCUUAAGAUCUCCAUUUGAGGUUGGGAGCUCAUAUAGUACUUCCUUCCUUUUGUGUAGUACUAGAACAAUGCCCGUGGUUGCAACGGGACAUAAAUAUUCUAGUACAAUAGAUUGUGAUUUACCUGUUAAUAAUAAUGCAAUUGUGUAAAUAAAUGUUCAUCAAAUAGUGACCGUGAAUUACCUUAUAUUUCAAUUAGAAGUUUGGUAAGUAAAUUAAAGUGGAAUUGGUUCAGAAGGUAAGUAAAUGAAGGUGAUUUUGAAAUAAGGGGUGGUGGAAAGAAAGGUCAAAUGGGAACCUUACGUUCUUUGUAAGUAGUAGAGUCACCUAAAACAGAGCGACGUCACAAAUAUGUCAUUUUAGGUGCGCUGCACAAACACUCUUACAGAAAAAGUGUUCUGCGUAAAGGUGACAAUAGCAGUGUUAUGUGUUUGUUCCCUAUUCAUAUAAAAUGAACAAGAUAUUGUUUCUGAAUUUAAUAUUGUACCUAUAUUGUACCUAUAUAGGCAUGCAUACGACUAUAACAAACCAUCCUAACAUAGUACUAUAGCGAACUCCUAACACAUAUCACUUAAUUAGAUCAAAACUUUGAGUGCAGGUAGCUAAAACAUAGAUCCUAAAACAAAAGUGCUCUUCUGAACCUGAGCUCACAUGCACCCUCAAGAACAGUAAAAUAAUAAAAAAAAUCGGAUUCAUGGGGCUGCACCUGAGAUUGAAAUCAGAAAUUCCAUGUCCAUCCUGUUUGAACUACGCCAUCCUUUCCCUUAUCCCUAAGGUCAAGGGUGGUGAUAAUAUCCAUUUGUUUUGGCCUGUAGGUCUUAUUAACUAUUUUUCUAAGUUCCAUGUGAACUGUUUUGCCAUUAGGCUCUCUCAAUAGCCCACUGCUCAAUUAGUAGUACCCAAACCACUUUUUUCAAAGGUUGUUAUUUUCCGUGGAUGGGAUCCCUCUCUCUUCAUGAGAUUAUUCACGAGCUUCAGUCUAGGGGAAUAGAAGCUAUUGUCCUCAAAGUAACUUUGAGAAGGUGUAAGAUUGUGUUUGAUGGUCCUUCCUAUGUGAGGUCCUCGUUGCAAAAUGUUUUGAUUCUAGCCAUGUUCAUCACAUUAUGAGUUUGGUUAGUGGGGCGGUAUGGCGAUGUGUGUCAAUGGGGUUGUUGGACUCAAUUUUUAUAAACAAUAGAGACUCUCGCCAAGGUGAUCCUUUCUCCACUUUGUUCUUUAAGUUCGUGGCGGACGAGCAAUCCCUCAUUCUUAAAUGUGCCUCCUCUAUCGGCCACAUCUCCGGGGUGGCUUCAUAGCUUUACCUUAUGGGAUUUUGCACCUACCAUAUGUUGAUAACAUGAUUAUCCUGAUCGAAGAAUAUGACCUUCAAAUCAUAGACCUCAAGUUCAUCUUACUUUGUUUUGAGGCCUUGUCCGGCCUCAAAAUUAAUCUCAACAAGAGUGAGAUUAUGACCCUGGGUUGAUCCCCUUUGGAAUAAGUUUGUAUUGCAAAGUUUCUUAAUUGCAAACUUGGAUCCUUCCCUAUUAACUACCUCGGAUUCCUACAUUCAAGAUCUAUGCCUCCUAUUUUAUCCCUAUUUAGCAAAAUGCUGGAUCUAGGGUCGCCCUUGAAGAGGCAAAUACAAAUCCUCGCCAGUAAAGUCGUGCUUAUUAACGUGUGUGUAUCUAGUUUACAUAUGUACAUUCUGGGCUUCUAUCGUCUCUUGGAAAGUAAUCACUCCAUUUUUGACAAACAUCAUAGUGGUUUUGUUGGAGUGUGGUGGGUAACCAUAAGAAAUAUAGAUUUGUUAAGUGGAAGCUCAUGUGUCAACACAAAAACCUUGGGGGUUGGGAAUUAUUAACACCUCUGUCAUGAACAAAUGCUCAUUAUGAAAUGGUGGUGGAAAUUUGCGAUGCUGAGAAAAAAACUCUUUGGGGACAUUCUCAAAGCUAAGUACUUCCCUAACUGUAAUCCCUUGAUAGCCAAUCCUCGAGGUGGCUCCCGUUUGGAAGUUGAUUCUCAAAGUUUGAAAUGAAUCUAAGAGCCAUGUUAAGUUGUGGUUAGUGAUUGUGUCUCGACUAGGUUUUGGAUGGACAUGGUAGGGGGCCCUCUACCUCUCUUUCCCUACCAUAUUUCUGUAUUGCCCUAAUCCCGAGAUCUCUAUUAUGGUGCUCCCUAUCAAUAAUUUGGACUUUUGGGUUCGUUGGUCCUUGUCCCCUACACAGCUUACAAAGUGGCAGGCCCUCACUACACAUAUCAUGAUGCUCUUGUCGACUUAAGGAUCGAAUUUCUUAGACAUAUUCUGCUUCCGGGAAGUUUGCUGGGAAAUUGCUCUACCCAAGGGUUAUUCAGGGUGUCACAAUACAAGUUUCAGGGAGUGUGGAGGGCUCGCAUUCCCUUAAGAUCAAGAUAUUCCUUUGGUAAGCUAUUAGUUAGUUCCUUCCAGCUAGUAACCAGAUUCUCAAGUGUAACGGUAUGACAGAUGCAAAUUGUUCUCUUUGUGGAGAAAAAAGAAUGUGGACAUAUCGUCUUCAGAUGUGUUCUUGAAGAAAACAAUUGUGUUCAUGGUUCAAUGCAACUUCGUACCCUAAUAAUUUCUCGGAGCUUUUCGCUAUUACCGGGAACCUUUCUUGUCUCUUGGCCCGUGUCUUUUGAUUUGCUUGUGGCUCAAUCUUGGACUUUGUGGACUACUCGCAAUAAAUUUAUGAUCGAUCACUUAUUCCCUAAUCAUCAAGUUGAUCACCUGUUAAAACACAUGCUUUUUAGCUGUUAUGGAAGCCAAUGGCUAAGGGUGGUGAUGUUGCUGCUAUUGAAGAUUUCAUUAUCAAGAUUCGUGCAUCUGCUCGCACCCUACUUCCGGGCGCGCCGCCUCGAAUUAGCCUAGUCGUUUCUACGUUCAUGCCCCUGGGCUGACAUGCACACAUUUAUUUUGGUUAUGUAGCAUUUCAAUAUUGAUGUAUCGUGAUGAUGGUAGAACCUGUUACUUAUCCUCCUUGUUGUAUGGUGAUAGUUUGUCAUAUUAGCUUUAUUUAUAAAGUCGGGCAUAAUGUCUUUUCUCUAAUGCUAUUUAUCAACAGGGUGCAAAAUAAGUUAUCUUGCACCUGAGCUAUUCUCACGAUCGUUUUAUUAAAAUAACGUUUGUUAUACAAAUAGUUGCGUCUCUAUUGAUUUACUACGCAAAAUUUGGCACAAGAAAAUCAAAAUAUAAGUCAUAAGACCACGCUGUUACAUUUUUAUGUAUAUUGUUACUAUGUUUCAACAUUCGCAAUUUUACGUAGCAUAAAAUAUGUUUUACAGCUGAUGUGUAUUUUCUUACGCUCUUGUUUGACUUCCGACGUAAGAUAAAAUUUUCGGUACGUGAAAAUAUGGUGCAGUGAUAUUAAAAUAGAGGGGGCAAAGAAUACACUCUGGGUGGUGAACAAGCAUUAUGUGCCCUCGGCAAAAAAAACUAUCAUUACAGCUCAAUGCGACACAAAUAUAUACUCAACUAUUUUUUCCCGCCCAGGGGCACAUAAUGACGUGUACUCCCUCCGUUCCCAAAUGUAAGUCUUUUUAGAGAUUCUAAUAUAGACUACAUUCAGAGCAAAAUGAGUGAAUUACACUCUAAAUAUGCCUAUAUUCACCCAUAUGUAGUUCAUAUUCAAAUAUCUAAAAGACUUAUAUUUAGGAACGGAGGGAGUAUUAUUUUUCAAUUCCUCUGUUAGAUCAUCUUACAUUAUAGUCCUGUCCUUGUCUCCUUGUGUUGCCAUAUUUUGUUUCAUAAUUUUUGGCAACUUCGACACCGUCGGAACCACAUACUGGUUCGUAGUAGUAACUAUUGGUAGAAAGAAUCGUCCUCCUAGAAAUUACUUUGCUAGGUACACUGAGGUGAUCGGACGUGCGCACGCAACAUGAAGAAUCAAACGACCCACCGCUUCGGCGCGAAUAGAAAUUUUUCUUUUCAUACAUAACCGAAUAAUCCUGAGAAAGUAGGUGCGCAUAUGCGCUGGACAUGGAAGAUGGAGAUGUAUGCCUAACAAGUCCAAGCCGCCUUUAAAGAAAAAUGAAAUACGUCCAAGCUAGCCAGCAUAUAAAAAAAAAGUCCAAGCUAGCCAGGAGUCAAACAAGUUUAUCCCAAGCACCUACCCACCACGAUCACAAUGUAUAGCUGACGCAGCAAAUUGGCAUGUUUCAAGAACGGGCACCUAUAUAUAGAGUUGCUUGUAGCUCUGGGUACACAAAACUACAGCAUAAACCAUCAUUAGACAGGACAAGCCAAUUGCUUUGCUCGACAAGUGUAGAAGCAACGAUGAAGAGUAGCACGCUCGUGGCGAUCCUGAUUCUCCAGGCCGUCCUGGUCAUGGGAAUCCUCUCACAGGCGAACGGUACGUGCUGAUUGCCUUUUUGUAUGGCGUGCAGAGUUUAGCUUAAAAGGGAUAUCAAAUUAGUUAAUCACCUUACAAGACCAUCCCUUUUGACAUGCAUUUGUUACCAAAUGAACUAAUUUGUUUGAUUGCACCCCCGCAAAAAAAAACUAUUUUGAUUGCAUGUGUCCGUGCAGCCGA